CCGGAUAAUUAAGCUACAGUAAUUCUCUCCUAAUGAUGCCACGUCACUUCGAUUAUUGGCGCUAAUCUCGUGUUAGUUCAAAAACGAUUCAAAUUCAAAUUCAAAAUCAAACAAACAAUAAAAGUUUUCAAAUAAUAAAACCAAAAUGUUCGGAGUGUGCCAAUUAAUGCCUAGGUAUUAUGGUGAAGGAACCACGCUUCUACAGGAUGUAUAAAUACUUGAAAAUGAAUUAAAACAGAAGAGAAAAUAAACAAAAGGGAAAAGAAUAAAAACAGAAAACAAAACUACAAAAUAAAAAUAAAAGGAGAAGAGGCCCCCUCGCCAACUGGGCCAGACGGCCCAGCUGGCCGACCCGCUGGCCCACUCAGCCGGCCCAGUUGCCUUGGCCUAUAUGUCCUCCCCCCACUAACCCUAGCAACCACCCAGACCACCCCCACUUCUCCCCCCACGAACCCCCAUCUCCCCUCGCUCCUCCCCCUGCCCUCCCGAUCUGGAUCGGGGGCAGACAUCCCCGUCGCCGCCGCCCGUCACCCCGCACCAUGUUGGCGCCCCUUGCGAUGCCACCUCACCAUCGGCUGCCGCCACCCUUCCCGCGCUCCACCGCGCUUGUNNNNNNNNNNNNNNNNNNNNNNNNNNNNNNNNNNNNNNNNNNNNNNNNNNNNNNNNNNNNNNNNNNNNNNNNNNNNNNNNNNNNNNNNNNNNNNNNNNNNNNNNNNNNNNNNNNNNNNNNNNNNNNNNNNNNNNNNNNNNNNNNNNNNNNNNNNNNNNNNNNNNNNNNNNNNNNNNNNNNNNNNNNNNNNNNNNNNNNNNNNNNNNNNNNNNNNNNNNNNNNNNNNNNNNNNNNNNNNNNNNNNNNNNNNNNNNNNNNNNNNNNNNNNNNNNNNNNNNNNNNNNNNNNNNNNNNNNNNNNNNNNNNNNNNNNNNNNNNNNNNNNNNNNNNNNNNNNNNNNNNNNNNNNNNNNNNNNNNNNNNNNNNNNNNNNNNNNNNNNNNNNNNNNNNNNNUGCCCCGCGCCGGCGGCCGUUCUCGCCGGCCCCUGCCAGCCGGCCUGCGCCGGCCACCCCCGAUUUGGUCGCCACCGCGCCCUUGGGUAUGUGCCCAAGAGGGCAAGAGCACGGCGCCCGCUCGAGUCGCCCAGCGCCCACACCCAGUGCCCAAUUGGCCAUGGGCCUAUGACAAGUGGGGCUCGGCCCCAGAACGUGAAUAAAAAAAGAGUUUUAAAAUAAAUAAAUAAAUAAUAAAUGAGAAAAGGUAUAUUAAUUAAUUAAUUAAUUAACUUAAUUAAUUAAAUUAACUUAAUUAAUUAAUGUUUAAUUAACCUAAUUAACUAGUGUUAAUUAACUAAACACUAAUUAGAUUGGUUAAAACCUAAUUAGGCUGAACAGACAAUGACAUGUGGGACCCACACGUCAGGUUGACCAGUCAACCCUGUUGACUGCUGACGUCAUGAUGAUGUCAUCAAAUACUGUUCUAGAUAAUGUUGGAUUAAAUAAAUUAAACAAAUCCUAAAAAUGAUUUUAAUCUUUUAAAAUCAAUAUAAAAUAAACCGUAACUCGGAUGGAAAAACUUUGUACAUGUAAGUUGCUCAGAACGACGAGACGAAUCCGGAUACGCAUCCCGUUCGUUUGCCAUGCAUCCCUAGCAUAGCGAACACGCAACUUUCCCCCUUCGGUCACCUGUCCGAAAACGCGAAACACCGGGAAUACUUUCCUGGAUGUUUUCCCCCUUCACCGGUACCACCUCGUACCGCGUUAGGGAACCCCUAGCACCGAUACUUGUCAUGUCAUGCAUCGCUAUGCAUCUGUUUGCUUAACAUUUAUUGUUUCUUCCCCCUCUUCUCUUGCUAGACACCGAGACCGACGCCGCGCUACCCAGUACGACUACGGUGUUGAUGACCCCUCCUUCUUGCCAGAGCAACCAGGCAAGCCCCCCCCCCCCUUGAUCACCAGAUAUUGCCUACUCUCCUCUAUACUGCUUGCAUUAGAGUACUGUAGCACGUUACUGCUUUUCGUUAAUCCUAUUCUGUUGCAUAUCCUAUCAUUGUUACUACAACUGUUGAUACCUUACCUGCAAGCCUAAAUGCUUAGUAUAGGAUGCUAGUUUACCAUCAGUGGCCCUACAUUCUUGUUCGUCUGCCAUGCUAUACUACUGGGCCGUGAUCACUUCCGGAGGUGAUCACGGGCAUAUGAUAUAUACUUAUACUGUUACAUUACUUAUGAUACUGUUCGGAGAUGGGGGCUGAAGGGGCAGGUGGCUCCAUCCAGGUAGUGGUGGGCUUGAGUUCCCGACGGCCCCCGACUGUUACUUUGAGGCGGAGCGACACGCCAGGUUGUGACCACCUAGGAGAGAGGUGGGCCUGGCCCUGGUCGACAUUCUCGGAUACUUAACACGCUUAAUGAGAUCUUGGUAUUUGAUCUGAGUCUGGCCAUUGUCCUAUACACACUAACCAUCUACGCGGGGACAGUUAUGGGCACUCGAUGUCGUGGUAUCAGCCGAAGCCUUCGUGAUGUCUGCGACUAAGCGGCGCGCGCCGGGUUGGACCGUGUAACGCAAUUUCCUUUGUAAUGGAGGUUGCUAGGUCUGCUCUCCGGUUGCCCUCGCAACAUGCAGGUGUGCAAUGGGCGAUGGGCCCAGACCCCUGCGCCAUAGGAUUUAGACCGGUGUGAUGACCGCUCUGUUGUGCCUAGGUAGGGCUGCGACGUGUUGAUAUUCCGAGGCCGGGCAUGACCCAGGAAAGUGUGUCCGGCCAAAUGGGAUCGAGCGUGUUGGGUUAUGUGGUGCACCCCUGCAGGGAAGUUAAUCUAUUCGAAUAGCCGUGAUCUUCGGUAAUAGGACGACUUGGAGUUGUACCUUGACCUUAUGACAACUAGAACCGGAUAGUUAAUAAAAACGCCCUUCCAAGUGCCAAAUACGACCGGUAAUCGCUCUCUCACAGGGCAAUGAAGGGAGGAUCAUCGGUUAGGAUUAUGCUACACGAUGCUACUUCGUGCACUUACUAUCUACUCUCUUCUUCUGCUGCAAGAUGGAGGUUACCAGAAGCGUAGUCUUCGAAAGGACUAGCUAUCCCCCUCUUAUUCCGGCAUUCUACAAUUCAGUCCACAUAUGAUACCCUCAAUCCAUUUGAUACCAAUGCAUACAUAUGUAGUGUAACUCCUUGCUUGCGAGUACUUUGGAUGAGUACUCACGGUUGCUUUGCUCCCCCCUUUCCCCCUUCCUAUACUUGAUUGCUGCGACCAGACGAUGGAGUCCAGGAGCCAGACGCCACUGUCGAUGACGACUACUACUACCCGGGAGGCGCCUACUACUACGUGCAGCCCGCUAACGACGACCAGGAGUAGUUUAGGAGGAUCCCAGGCAGGAGGCCUGCGCCUCUUUCGAUCUGUAUCCCAGCUUGUGCUAGCCUUCUUAAGGAAAACUUGUUUAACUUAUGUCUGUACUCAGAUAUUGUUGCUUCCGCUGACUCUUCUAUGAUUGAGCUCUUUUAUUCGAGCCCUUGAGGCCCCUGGCUUGUAAUAUGAUGCUUGUAUGACAAACUCAGGGAUCCAAACAAAGAGGAGUAGUACUGUACAUGCUACAGUCUGGACCGUCGCACAUUGUUUUUAUGGCCAUAUCAGCACAUUGUUUUCUACUGCUGAUUCAUCGGGCUACCGUGGUUCGCACUCCUCUGUCGUGGUUCGCACUCCUCUUACGUACUUCGCCGACAUGUGGGAGAGCCAGCAUCCAGGUCGACGUGUCAUGCACCAGAUUAGAGUGCGGAAUGGAAGGGGGGCAUCACCCCGGUCGUACCGCCAGUAAUUCACGACUAUAGUGAGUAGUCAUAACACAAGUCUUUCCAGCAGUAAUGCGCCGUCAAAUCGGACAGCCCGACCUUUCCAGCAGUAAGUUGAAUCCGCUACUCCCUCACCCUCCUCGCCUCUUUGUCAAACCACCUAUGCGAAAACUGCCGCACGUACUGCCCGGGAAAAGCCCCGCCCUCAACUUUUAACUACGUGGAAAUAGUUCGAGCUUGUUCGUUCUAUAUAAAUACUAGUAUUGUAUGUUUAUUCACCCGUGGGGUUGGUCAAUGAAUGGAGGGCCGGGGAGCACAAGUGAACAAUACGAGUACUUCUACUACAUUCGUCCUAGUUUAUGUAACACCCCGGAUGUGACUUUCCCAAUAUGUAUUCCAACUCUUGCCGUUUCCGGCGUUAAGUAAUUUUAUUUUCUCGGGUUUAGGUAUUUGUCUCCGUGUGUUGUUGUCGUUGUCAUGCAUCUCAUAUCAUGUCAUCAUGUGCAUUGCAUUUGCAUACGUGUUCAUCUCAUGCAUCCGAGCAUUUUCCCCGUUGUCCGUUUUGCAUUCCGGCGCUCUGUUCUCCUCCAGUGGUCAUUUCUACCUUUCUUUCGUGUGUGGGGAUUAAACAUUUCCGGAUUGGACCGAGACUUGCCAAGCGGCCUUGGUUUACUACCGGUAGACCUCCUGUCAAGUUUCGUACCAUUUGGACUUCGUUUGAUGCUCCAACGGUUAACCGAGGGACCGAAAAGGCCUCGUGUGUGUUGCAGCCCAACACCCCUCCAAGUUGGCCCAAAACCCACCAAAACCUUCUCCAUCAUCUAGAGCGUUCGAUCACGAUCGCGUGGCCGAAAACCGCACCUCAUUUGGACUCUCCUAGCUCCCUCCACCUCUAUAUAUAGACCCCUCCUCGAAAUUCCCUGAUCUCCUCUCUCCCUAACCCAAAAAAUCAGCUCCGCCGCAAUCGGACACGUCUGGCCGCAACCGGACACGUCCGCCUGCUCCGCCGGACCUAUCAGCAAGCGCCACGUGGGCGCCGAGCCCCACUUCCCAGCCGAGGCCCGCGGGGAGCCCCCGGGCCCAUCCGCCUUCGCCGCCGCCCGCAGGGACGUGCGCCCGGGUCCGUGCCGCCCCGACAAGCCGCCUCCUCGCCGCCGCCUUCUUCCGCGCCGGCCGGCGACCUCCUCGCCUGAGCCCGCCGGCGCCGCUCCGCUCCUCCCACGNNNNNNNNNNNNNNNNNNNNNNNNNNNNNNNNNNNNNNNNNNNNNNNNNNNNNNNNNNNNNNNNNNNNNNNNNNNNNNNNNNNNNNNNNNNNNNNNNNNNNNNNNNNNNNNNNNNNNNNNNNNNNNNNNNNNNNNNNNNNNNNNNNNNNNNNNNNNNNNNNNNNNNNNNNNNNNNNNNNNNNNNNNNNNNNNNNNNNNNNNNNNNNNNNNNNNNNNNNNNNNNNNNNNNNNNNNNNNNNNNNNNNNNNNNNNNNNNNNNNNNNNNNNNNNNNNNNNNNNNNNNNNNNNNNNNNNNNNNNNNNNNNNNNNNNNNNNNNNNNNNNNNNNNNNNNNNNNNNNNNNNNNNNNNNNNNNNNNNNNNNNNNNNNNNNNNNNNNNNNNNNNNNNNNNNNNNNNNNNNNGCCGGCGACCCACGCCGUCCGCGCCCGCCACCGUGCCGGAUUCGCCUCCUCACCGCCACGGCGUCCUCUCCACUGUCCGGCGACCCCCCUCCGGCGAUCCACGACGCUUCCGGCAAGCAAGAGCUCAGAUCCGGUGAACCUCGGGCUGCGUGCAAGGCCGGAUCCAGAUCUGAGUUUUGCCCCCUCGGUUGACUUUUUAUCCCUAACCCUAUCUCAUGUUGCCCUAUUCAUCAUGCUAUAACUUUGCAUCCGUAACUCCGUUUUGGGCAUAUAGCAUAUUAAAAUGUUCGACUCAGAGACUACAUCAUUUCAUUCCAUUGCAUCAUUUUCAUUUGAGUUCAUCUUGAUGCCCGAAAUGCUGCUAGAAUUGUGCUACUUGAGAUAAUUGUCAGAUCUGCUGCUCCAUUUAGAUAUUUGUCAUUUUUGCCAUGAUUAUUGUGUGCAUGAUAUGCCCAUGAGCCCUACAUAUGUUUUGUUAAGGGUUUUGCCAUCUUUCCAGAGGUGCAACUCAUGUAUUUUUGUGAUGUGUGUGGUGACUAGCACAAGCUUGCAAAGUGAGGCACUUGGUAAUGCUGAUUUCAGGGACUUAGCAUUUCCACUAAGUCCUUGAUCUGUUUUUCUCAUGAUGCCAUAUGUUCAUGUUGUUUCCUAGUGAUCCAUGCCUCUUUUGAGGAUGAUCAUUAAGGAUGUUUUCUUAAUUUUGUAGUGCUCUAUCCAUCCAUGUCUUUGUUUGCAAUUAUGGAGCACCCUAGCUUUAGUCAAUCGAGCUCUACUUUUGUCAUUUCGUGAAUCUGAGCAGAUUGUCUACUUGUUAGCGAUUUUGCCGAUGAUGUUGUAGUUGAUCCGUGCAUGCUAUGCUAUUGUUCUUGCCAUGUCUAGCUUGUAUUUUGUGUAUUCUUGAUGGGUGUAUGCUUAGAUUGUCAUGACUUGCUCCGUAGUGAGUGCAUCGAGCUCGUAAACAUGCCUACUUGAUAUCUGUUUCAGCAUGCUCCAGUUUUCACUAAGUCUGUGAGAUGAUUAUGUUUUUGCCAUGUUUACAUGCUUGCAAAUGUAUUUUCUGAUCCCUUUUGGCUCAAGGUCACUAAGGGACUUUUGUUAAGCUGUCUGAGUAGCUCUAUGCCAUGCUUUAUUUUGCCAUGUUCAGGUCCUGUAGCAUGUAGUUUUGUUGCUCUGAAGAGUGCUAUCUGAUCUGAAAUUCCAGACAAGUGUUAAUUUCAGUAAGUCUGAAAUCUGUUUACCAUAUGCAUUUUUGCCAUGCUUGUUUGACCCUGUUAAUGGAUGAAUUAGCCAUAGCUCAGUGCUAGACUUUUGUUAAGCAUCUUGAAAGCAUCCCUGCCAUGUAUUUUGUUGCCAUGUUUGAGUGCUGUAGCAUGUUCAUCUUGUUGCAUUUAGAUGGCUACUUGCUGUAAAUCGCAGAACGUGGUCAUAUUUGAAUUGCUUGCCAUUUCCAAACCGUAACUCCGAUUCCGGCGUUCUUUAUAUCGUUUUCAAGCGAUUUCAUCUCAUCUUUCCAGUAGAAAACUUGGAUUCCCAUGUUGAGGCCGGGUUCAUGCCUCCCUUGUCAAAUCUUGCAUAUGCAUCCCGCAUCGCAUCCCCCAUAGCAUACCAUCCUUGCAUCAUAUUGCUUGAGCUUUGCACGUGGUUGAUUGUGUCCUUGUUGCUUGUUUGUCUUGUUUGGGUAGAGCCGGGAGACGAGUUCGCUUGCUUUCGAGGAUCCAGUCAACUCCGACAACUUUGCAGGCAAGAUGAUCAUACCCUCGAAAUUACUACUAUCUUUGCUUUGCUAGAUGCUCGCUCUUUUGCUAUGCCAAUGCUACGAUGCCUACCACUUGCUUUCAAGCCUCCCAAAUUGCCAUGUCAAACCUCUAACCCACCAUGUCCUAGCAAACUGUUGAUUGGCUAUGUUACCGCUUUGUUCAGCCCCUCUUAUAGCGUUGCUAGUUGCAGGUGACGAUUGGAGACCGUUCCUUGUUGGAACAUUAUUUACUUGUUGGGAUAUCAUUAUAUUGCCAUGUUAUCUUAAUGCAUCUAUAUACUUGGUAAAGGGUGGAAGGCUUGGCCUCUCGCCUAGUGUUUUGUUCCACUCUUGCCGCCCUAGUUUCUGUCAUAUCGGUGUUAUGUUCCCGGAUUUUGCGUUCCUUACGCGGUUGGGUUAUAAUGGGAACCCCUUGAUAGUUCGCCUUGAUUAAAGCUUUUCCAGCAAUGCCCAACCUUGGUUUUACCAUUUGCCACCUAGCCUCUUUUUUCCUUGGGUUUUCGGAGCCCGAAGGUUAUCUUAUUUAAACCCCCCCGGGCCAGUGCUCCUCUGAGUGUUGGUCCAACUCGUCAGCCAUCGGUGGCUACCAGGGGCAACUCUGGGCUGGCGUACCGGAAGUUUAGACAAUCUGAGUGUGCCCUGAGAACGAGAUAUGUGCAGCUCCUAUCGGGAUUUGUCGGCACAUUCGGGCGGUGUUGCUGGUCUUGUUUUAACCUGUCGAAGUGUCUUGAAGAACCGAGGUACCGAGUCUGAUCAGAACGUCUCGGGAGGAGGUCUAUUCCUUCGUUGACCGUGAGAGCUUGUCAUGGGCUAAGUUGGGACUCCCCUGCAGGGAUUUGAACUUUCGAAAGCCGUGCCCGCGGUUAUGGGCAGAUGGGAAUUUGUUAAUGUCCGGUUGUAGAUAACUUGAACCUUAACUUAAUUAAAAUGAAUCAACUGAGUGUGUUACCGUGAUGGCCUCUUCUCGGCGGAGUCCGGGAAGUGGAACGGUGUUGGAGUAAUGCUUGCGCAGGUUGCCCUCUAGUUUCUCGCUCGCGCUUUGAAUCCUCUUCUCGCUCUCUUUUGCAAACAGGAUAUCCACCAUAUUUGCUAGUCGCUUGCUGCAGCUCCAUAUAUUUACCUUGCCUUACCUAUAUGCUUAAAUAGUCUUGAUCGCGGGGGUGCGAGAUUGCUGAGUCCGUGUGGCUCACAGAUUACUAUUACAUCAGAUGCAGGGCCUGAUGAUUCCACUCCAGGUGACGCGCUUGAGCUCAAGUGGGAGUUCGACCAGGACUCUCAACGAUACUAUGUUUCCUUUCCUAUUGAUCAGUAGUGGUGCCCAGUUGGCGGUGAUCGGGACCGUGCCGCAUGUUGGGUUAUCUUUUAUUUUGGCGUCGUAGUCGAGCCAUGAGUGUUUGGAUGAUGUAAUGUUAUUUUUGUACUUGAUUGAUGUGGCGAGUGUAAGCCAACUAUGUUAUCUCCCCUUUUAUUAUCUAUAUAUUACAUGGGAUGUUGUGAAGAUUGCCUAACUUACGAUAUAUGCCUUCAAUGCAAUUAUGCCUCUAAGUCGUGCCUCAACACGUGGGAGAUAUAGUCGCAUCGAGGGUGUUACAAGUUGGUAAUCAGAGCCUUCCCCGACCUUAGGAGCCCCAUUGCUUGAUCGUUAUUAGCGGCCGAGUUGUGUCUAGAAAAAUGUUUUGAGUCAUUUAGAAGUUAUAUAUCGGAGAGUUUAGGAAUUAUUUUUACUUCCCAGUCUCCUCAUCGCUCUGAGGUGUUGUCAUCAUAAUUUUAUCGUUGCAGUUCUGGAAUACCUGAGUCUAGUACGCCAACAUUGAAAAUCUCUUUUAUGCAGUUCGUUGGUGAGAUAACCUCGACGCCACCCAGUACUGGGGCGGGAGUUCGGGAGUAUCGCCAUAACUUGUAUAACAGAUGCUUUUCAAAGGUUGAGGUAGAUGGUUUCUGAAGUUUUUUCUCUGUUAUGUGUUGAAGGAUGGAUACAGCUGGAUGUAGGAUUUGCUAGAUUUGGGUGAGAUAUUAUGCUUCCCUUGUAUCCCCAACACCUGAUUGCAUAACCGAAAAGGUUCGGGAGUUUCAUAGGUGGGAAUUCUUGUAGCUCUAGUUUCUUCUUCCAUGGAUAUUUGGUUUGAGAUUGGGAUUUCUUACCGAGUAUUCGUUCUUGAUCCGUACCUUGUUGAUUCAUUUCUCUACCUAAAUUCUAUGUGGCUUCUCAAUUUGUGGAUAUGUGACCAUUUCAAGAGGAAUGCAUUCGUUCAUUUUGUUCGGAUGUGAAGACUAUAUGUUGCAAUUUUCAUUCUGUUGGAUUCAGCUUCAUUUUAUCUGUCAAUGUGCUAACGGUGGUCAACCUCUUCAGGAUGGCUCCCGCUAAGAUCACCAAUCAGAAUCAGAAUUAGGAUCCGCCACCACCUCCCCCUCCUCCGGAGGCAUGGCAAGCUGUGAUGGCCGCAACCAAUGCAAACACACAGUUGAUCAUGCAAAUUCUUCAAGAGCGCAAUCAAGGCAACCAAGGGAACCAAGGCAACAAUUAGAAUCACUUUGCUACACUUAACCAGUUCCUUGCUAACGGGCCAAAGACUUUCAGCAAUUGUGUUGAGGCAACCGAUGCUGACGAUUGGCUCGUGGAUCUGUGCAAGCAUUUCGAGUGCAGUAACGUCAGGCCUGAGGACUUUGUCAAGUUCGCUUCCUUCCAACUCAAAGAUCAAGCUGCAGAAUGGUUCCAGUAGUACAAGGAUUCCAGAGGUGGAUGUGUGAUCACUUGGGAUGAAUUCCGUCAAGAUUUCAGAGCUCACCAUAUCCCUCAGAGCGUGGUUGAAAGCAAGCGUGAGGAAUUCCGCAACCUGAAGCAAGGCUCUUUGUCUGUCUAUGACUACAACAAGUUGUUUCAGAAGCUCGCCCGCUUUGCCAAGCAGGACGUCCCUGAUGAGAAGAGCAUGAUAUACCAGUUCAGGGGUGGUCUCAGAGAAGAAAUUCAGCUAGCUCUUGUCCUCUUUGAGCCCUUGAGGUACGAUGAGUUCUACAACAUGGCAUUGAAGCAAGAGGCCGCUCAACUGAGGUGUGAUGCUUCCAAGAAGCGAGUCAGAGACACUACUCCUUCUUCCUCUACUCAAGUGGCCAAGCAGCAGAAGUAUUGGCUUCCUCCUCCUCCGUUUCGUCAGCCGUAUCAGCAGAAGAGCAAAGGUGGCAGUGGAUGUUCCCACCCACCCAACCCUGGCUUUCAGAACAAGACUUCGUCUCAAGCUCCAAGAUCGAGUGCUCCGUAUCGCCGUCCGCUUUCAGAGGUCACGUGCAACAAGUGCCAACAGAAGGGUCACUAUGCCAACAAAUGCUUCAACCAGAGGCGUCUUCCUCCUCCUCCUCCUGUGAGAUCGGCAAGUACAGUUGUGGUCAAGCAUAACCCCAAGCAAGCCAAGGUCAACUUGAUGAAUGCAGCUCAGGCAGAGGAUUCGUCAGAUGUCAUCAUGGGUAACCUUCCAGUUAACGAUGUCCCUGCAAAAGUUCUUUUUGACACGGGUGCAUUGCAUUGUUUCAUCUCGAGACCGUUUUCAUCUAAGCAUGGUUUGGCUUUGCAAAUUUUUCCUAGUCCAUUAGCAGUUGCCUCUCCCGGUAGGCGCAUGCAUGCUAACUCCAUGGCUCCGGACGUUACUAUCACCUUGGGCGACUACAAGUUCCUUUCUUCUCCUAUGGUUCUUGGUAACUCGGAUAUUGAUCUUAUUCUCGGAAUGGAUUGGCUUUCUAAGCACAAGGCGCAUCUUGAUUGUGCUGCAAGGCAGAUUCAAUUGACUCAUUUGUCUGAGGAUGUAAUUGUCUUUGCCGCUCAUGAUGAUACUAUCCGUCUGUUUUCUCUCAAUGAGAAGGGUGAACUCGAUGCCAUCUCACAAAUUCCAGUCGUUUGCGAAUAUCAAGACGUCUUUCCAGAAGAGCUUCGAGGAAUGCCUCUGCACCGGCCAGUUGAAUUCGUCAUCGAUCUUGAGCCUGGCACAGAACCUGUGUGCAAGCGUCCUUACAAGCUCGGACCUGAAGAGUUGAAGGAGCUGAAGAAGCAACUAGAUAUUCAAGAGAGAAUGGGUCUCAUCCGGCCUAGUUCUUCUCUGUGGGGUUGUGGUGUUCUUUUUUUGAAGAAGAAGGAUGGAACAGACCGGCUUUGUGUUGAUUACUGUCCAUUGAACAAGAAGACCAUCAAGAACAAAUACCCACUUCCCAACAUCAACGAGCUGUUCGAACAACUCAAAGGCGCCUAAGUAUUCUCCAAGCUUGAUCUCCGUAAGGGUUAUCAUCAGAUUCGAAUCCGUGAACAAGAUAUUCUCAAGACGGCUUUCAGGACAAGCUAUGGGUCAUAUGAAUACACUGUCAUGUCUUUUGGCCUUGUCAACGCUCCUCCGACGUUCUCUCGCAUGAUGAACUUCAUCUUCAACGCCUACACCAAUGACUUCGUUUUGGUCUAUCUCAACGACAUUCUGGUUUUCUCGAAGAACAAGGAAGAUCAUGCCAAGCACUUGCGUUUGGUACUCGAUAAGCUGAGGGAACACCAGUUCUACGCCAAGUUCUCCAAGUGCGAAUUUUGGCUCGAUGAGGUUCUUUAUCUUGGUCAUAUCAUCUCUGCCAAGGGCAUUGCCAUGAAUCUUGAGAAGGUGUCUGCAAUUGCAAAUUGGGAACCUCCUCAGAACGUGAAGCAACUCCAUAGCUUCCUCGGUCUCGCAAGCUAUUGCCGAAGAGUCGUUGAAAACUUUUCUAAGAUCGCAAAGCCUCUCUCAAAUCUUCUCCAGAAGCACGUCAAGUACGUUUGGUCUCCGGAGUGUGACAUUGCUUUCAACACUUUGAAAGAGAAAUUGAUCACUGCUCCAGUUCUGACUCCGCCUGAUGAAUCCAAGCCGUACGAGGUCUUUUGUGAUGCCUCUCUCCAAGGUCUUGGCGCAGUGUUGAUGCAAGAGAAGAAAGUUGUUGCUUAUACCUCUCGCCAGUUGAAGCCUAAUGAGAAGAACUACCCCACUCAUGAUCUCGAGUUGGCGGCAGUUGUGCAUGCUCUUUUGACUUGGAGACAUCUCUUAUUGGGAAGAAAAGUGGACAUUUUCACUGAUCACAAGAGUCUCAAGUACAUUUUCACUCAGCCUAAUCUCAACCUCAGGCAAACUCGAUGGGUCGAAAUGAUUCAAGAGUAUAAUCCGAGUAUCGAGUAUACUCCAGGCAAGGCCAAUGUGAUUGCUGACGCAUUGAGCAGGAAAGCUUAUUGCAACAGUCUGAUUCUCAAGCCUUAUCAACCCGAGCUUUGUGAAGCUUUCCGCAAACUUAAUCUGCAAGUUGUUCCUCAAGGUUUCCUCGCCAACCUUCAAGUCUCUCCUACCUUGGAAGACCAGAUUCGCCAAGCCCGGCUUCUUGAUGCUAUGGUGAAAAAGGUGAAGAUUGGGAUUGCCAAGAGUCAACCCAAGUACAAGUGCUACCGCCUUGAUGACAAGGAUACUCUCUUCUUCGAGGUUCGUAUUGUUGUACCCAAAGGUGACCUUUGUAAAGUGAUCAUGAAUGAGGCUCACAAUUAUCUCCUCUCCAUCCACCCUGGGAGCACGAAGAUGUAUCAGGACCUCAAGCAGGCUUAUUGGUGGACUCGAAUGAAGCACGAGAUCGCUCAAUUCGUGAAUGAAUGUGAUGUCUGCAGAAGAGUGAAGGAAGAACACCAAAGGCCAGCGGGUCUCCUCCAACCUCUUGCCAUUCCAGAAUGGAAGUUUGACCACAUUGAGAUGGACUUCGUGACUGGGUUUCCGAAGUCCAAGCGUGGCAAUGAUGCUAUAUUCGUUGUCAUCGACAAACUCACCAAAGUGGCUCACUUUCUGCCUAUCAAAGAGUCGAUCACUGCAGCUCAAUUGGCGGAACUCUAUACCUCUCGAAUUGUCUCUUUGCACGGUAUUCCACAAGUGAUCUCUUCAGACCGUGGCAGCAUCUUUACGUCCAAGUUUUGGGAUUCUUUUCAGAAGGCCAUGGGCACCAACAUCCGCUUCAGCACAGCUUUCCAUCCUCAAACUAGCGGUCAAGUCGAGCGUGUCAACCGGAUUCUUGAAGAUAUGCUCAGGGCUUGUGUGAUCUCCUUCGGCAUGAAGUGGGAGGAUUGUCUUCCUUAUGCUGAAUUCUCCUACAACAACAGUUUUCAAGCAAGUUCGGGUAAGGCCCCAUUUGAAAUUCUGUAUGGAAGGAAGUGCCGUACCCCUCUCAACUGGUCUGAAACCGGUGAACGUCAGCUUUUGGGUAAUGACUUAAUCACAGAGGCAGAGGAAAUGUGUAAAGUCAUUCGAGAUAACCUCAAAGCAGCCCAUUCCCGCCAGAGGAGCUACUAUGAUAGUAAGCACCGUGAUUUGGCUUUCGAGAUCGGAGAUCAUGUUUACCUCCGCGUCUCUCCAAUGAAAGGUACUCGUCGCUUCGGUAUCAAAGGGAAGCUUGCCCCCAGAUACGUGGGACCUUUCAAGAUUAUCAGCAAGAGAGGUGAUCUCGCCUAUCAACUCGAGCUUCCUUCAAACUUUGCAAAUGUUCAUGAUGUGUUCCAUGUCUCUCAGCUCCGAAAGUGCUUCAAGACUCCUGACCGCACCGACAACUUCAAGGACAUUGAGCUCCAAGAAGAUCUCUCUUAUCGUGAGCACCCAGUUGCUAUUCUUGAAGAGACUGCACGCAAGACUCGCAACAAGUCAAUCAAAUUCCUCAAAGUCAAGUGGUCACACCAUUCUGACCGUGAAGCUACCCGGGAACGCGAAGAUCACCUCCGUUCUGAGUACCCGGUGUUCUUUCAGUCCUAGAUCUCGGGACGAGAUCCUUUCGUAGUGGUGGAGUGUUGUAACACCCCGGAUGUGACUUUCCCAAUAUGUAUUCCAACUCUUGCCGUUUUGGCGUUAAGUUAUUUUAUUUUCUCGGGUUCGGGUCUUUGUCUCCGUGUGUUGUUGUCGUUGUCACGCAUCUCAUAUCAUGUCAUCAUGUGCAUUGCAUUUGCAUACGUGUUCAUCUCAUGCAUCCGAGCAUUUUCCCCGUUGUCCGUUUUGCAUUCCGGCGCUCCGUUCUCCUCCGGUGGUCAUUUCUACCUUUCUUUCGUGUGUGGGGAUUAAACAUUUCCGGAUUGGACCGAGACUUUCCAAGCGGCCUUGGUUUACUACCGGUGGACCGCCUGUCAAGUUUCGUACCAUUUGGACUUCGUUUGAUGCUCCAACGGUUAAUCGAGGGACCGAAAAGGCCUCGUGUGUGUUGCAGCCCAAAACCCCUCCAAGUUGGCCCAAAACCCACCAAAACCUUCUCCAUCAUCUAGAGCGUUCGAUCACGAUCGCGUGGCCGAAAACCGCACCUCAUUUGGACUCUCCUAGCUCCCUCCACCUCUAUAUAUAGACCCCUCCUCGAAAUUCCCUGAUCUCCUCUCUCCCUAACCCUAAAAAUCAGCUCCGCCGCCAUCGGACACGUCCGGCCGCAACCGGACGAGUGCGCCCGCUCUGCCAGACCUAUCAGCAAGCGCCACAUGGGCGCCGAGCCCCACUUCGCCAUCGAGGCCCGCCGAGGCCCGCGGGGAGCCCCCGGGCCCAUCCGCCUUCGCCGCCGCCCGCAGUGACGUGCGCCCGNNNNNNNNNNNNNNNNNNNNNNNNNNNNNNNNNNNNNNNNNNNNNNNNNNNNNNNNNNNNNNNNNNNNNNNNNNNNNNNNNNNNNNNNNNNNNNNNNNNNNNNNNNNNNNNNNNNNNNNNNNNNNNNNNNNNNNNNNNNNNNNNNNNNNNNNNNNNNNNNNNNNNNNNNNNNNNNNNNNNNNNNNNNNNNNNNNNNNNNNNNNNNNNNNNNNNNNNNNNNNNNNNNNNNNNNNNNNNNNNNNNNNNNNNNNNNNNNNNNNNNNNNNNNNNNNNNNNNNNNNNNNNNNNNNNNNNNNNNNNNNNNNNNNNNNNNNNNNNNNNNNNNNNNNNNNNNNNNNNNNNNNNNNNNNNNNNNNNNNNNNNNNNNNNNNNNNNNNNNNNNNNNNNNNNNNNNNNNNNNNNNNNNNNNNNNNNNNNNNNNNNNNNNNNNNNGCCUCCUCACCGCCACGGCGUCCUCUCCACCGUCCGGUGACCCCCCUCCGGCGAUCCACGACGCUUCCGGCGAGCAAGAGCUCGGAUCCAGCGAACCUCGGGCUGCGUGCAAGGCCGGAUCCAGAUCUGAGUUUUGCCCCCUCGGUUGAGUUUUUAUCCCUAACCCUAGCUCAUGUUGCCCUGUUCAUCAUGCUAUAACUUUGCAUCCGUAACUCCGUUUUGGGCAUAUGGCAUAUCAAAAUGUUCGACUCGGAGAGUACAUCGUUUCAUUCCAUUGCAUCAUUUUCAUUUGAGUUCAUCUUGAUGCCCUAAAUGCUGCUAGAAGAGUGCUACUUGAGAUAAUUGUCAGAUCUGCUGCUCCAUUUAGAUAUUUUUCAUUUUUGCCAUGAUUAUUGUGUGCAUGAUAUGCCCAUGAGCCCUACAUAUGUUUUGUUAAGGGUUUUGCCAUCUUUCCAGAGGUGCAACUCAUGUAUUUUUGUGAUGUGUGUGGUGACUAGCACAAGCUUGCAAAGUGAGGCACUUGGUAAUGCUGAUUUCAGGGACUUAGCAUUUCCACUAAGUCCUUGAUCUAUUUUUCUCAUGAUGCCAUAUGUUCAUGUUGUUUCCUAGUGAUCCGUGCCUCUUUUGAGGAUGAUCAGUAAGGAUGUUUUGUUAAUAUUGUAGUGCUCUAUCUAUCCAUGUCUUUGUUUGCAAUUAUGGAGCACCCUAGCUUGAGUCAAUCGAGCUCUACUUUUGUCAUUUCGUCAAUCUGGGAAGAUUGUCUACUUGUUAGCGAUUUUGCCGAUGAUGUUGUAGUUGAUACGUGCAUGCUAUGCUAUUUUUCUUGCCAUGUCUAGCUUGUAUUUUGUGUAUUCUUGAUGGGUGUAUGCUUAGAUUGUCAUGACUUGCUCCGUAGUGAGUGCAUCGAGCUCGUAAACAUGCCUACUUGAUAUCUGUUUCAGCAUGCUCCAGUUUUCACUAAGUCUGUGAGCUGACUAUGUUUUUGCCAUGUUCACAUGCUUGCAAAUGUAUUUUCUGAUCCCUUUUGGCUCAAGGUCACUAAGGGACUUUUGUUAAUCUCUUUGAGUAGCUCUAUGCCAUGCUUUACUUUGCCAUGUUCAGGUCCUAUAGCAUGUAGUUUUGUUGCUCCGAAGAGUGCUAUCUGAUCUGAAAUUCCAGACAAGCUUGAUCUCCAAGUCUGAAAUCUGUUUACCAUAUGCAUUUUUGCCAUGCUUGUUUGACCCUGUUAAUGGAUGAAUUAGCCGUAGCUCAGUGCUAGACUUUUGUUAAGCAUCUUGAAUGCAUACCUGCCAUGUAUUUUGUUGCCAUGUUUGAGUUCUAUAGCAUGUUCAUCUUGUUGCAUUUAGAUGGCUACUUGCUGUAAAUCGCAGAACGUGGUCAUAUUUGAAUUGCUUGCCAUUUCCAAACCGUAACUCCGAUUCCGGCGUUCUUUAUAUCGUUUUCAAGCGAUUUCAUCUCAUCUUUCCAGUGGCACACUUGGAUUCCCAUGUUGAGGCCAGGUUCAUGCCUCCCUUGUCAAAUCUUGCAUAUGCAUCCCGCAUCGCAUCCCGCGUAGCAUACCAUCCUUGCAUCAUAUUGCUUGAGCUUUGCACGUGGUUGAUUGUGUCCUUAUUGCUUGUUUGUCUUGUUUGGGUAGAGCCGGGAGACGAGUUCGCUAACGAGGAUCCCGUUGAGUUUGCUUUCGAGGAUCCAGUCAACUCUGACAACUUUGCAGGCAAGAUGAGCAUACCCUCGAAAUCACUACUAUCUUUGCUUUGCUAGAUGCUCGCUCUUUUGCUAUGCCAAUGCUACGAUGCCUACCACUUGCUUUCAAGCCUCCCAAAUUGCCAUGUCAAACCUCUAACCCACCAUGUCCUAGCAAACCAUUGAUUGGCUAUGUUACUGCUUUGCUCAGCCCCUCUUAUAGCGUUGCUAGUUGCAGGUGAAGAUUGUAGACAGUUCCUUGUUGGAACAUUAUUUACUUGUUGGGAUACCAUUAUAUUGCCAUGUUAUCUUAAUGCAUCUAUAUACUUGGUAAAGGGUGGAAGGAUCGGCCUCUCGCCUAGUGUUUUGUUCCACUCUUGCCGCCCUAGUUUCCGUCAUAUCGGUGUUAUGUUCCCGGAUUUUGCGUUCCUUACGCGGUUGGGUUAUAAUGGGAACCCCUUGAUAGUUCGCCUUGAUUAAAGCUUUUCCAGCAAUGCCCAACCUUGGUUUUACCAUUUGCCACCUAGCCUCUUUUUUCCUUGGGUUUCCGGAGCCCGAGGGUCAUCUUAUUUAAACCCCCCCGGGCCAGUGCUCCUCUGAGUGUUGGUCCAACUCGUCAGCCGCCGGUGGCUACCAGGGGCAACUCUGGGCUAGCCUACCGGAAGUUUAGACAAUCUGAGUGUGCCCUGAGAAUGAGAUAUGUGCAGCUCCUAUCGGGAUUUGUCGGCACAUUCGGGCGGUGUUGUUGGUCUUGUUUUAACCUGUCAAAGUGUCUUGAAGAACCGAGGUACCGAGUCUGAUCGGAACGUCUCGGGAGGAGGUCUAUUCCUUCGUUGACCGUGAGAGCUUGUCAUGGGCUAAGUUGGGACUCCCCUGCAGGGAUUUGAACAUUCGAAAUCCGUGCCCGCGGUUAUGGGCAGAUGGGAAUUUGUUAAUGUCCGGUUGUAGAUAACUUGAACCUUAACUUAAUUAAAAUGAAUCAACUGAGUGUGUUACCAUGAUGGCCUCUUCUCGGCGGAGUCCGGGAAGUGGACACAGUGUUGGAGUAAUGCUUGCGCAGGUUGCCCUCUAGUUUCUCGCUCGCGCUUUGCAUCCUCUUCUCGCUCUCUUUUGCGAACAGGAUAGCCACCAUAUUUGCUAGUCGCUUGCUGCAGCUCCACAUAUUUACCUUGCCUUACCUAUAAUCUUAAAUAGUCUUGAUCGCGAGGGUGCGAGAUUGCUGAGUCCCUGUGGCUCAUAGAUUACUAUUACACCAGAUGCAGGGCCUGAUGAUUCCGCUCCAGGUGACGCGCUUGAGCUCAAGUGGGAGUUCGACGAGGACUCUCAAUGAUACUAUGUUUCCUUUCCUGAUGAUCAGUAGUGGUGCCCAGUUGGCGGUGAUCGGGACCGUGUCGCAUGUUGGGUUAUCUUUUAUUUUGGCGCCGUAGUCGGGCCAUGAGUGUUUGGAUGAUGUAAUGUUAUUUUUGUACUUGAUUGACGUGGCGAGUGUAAGCCAACUAUGUUAUCUCCCCUUUUAUUAUCUAUAUAUUACAUGGGAUGUUGUGAAGAUUGCCUAACUUGCGACAUAUGCCUUCAAUGCGAUUAUGCCUCUAAGUCGUGCCUCGACACGUGGGAGAUAUAGUCGCAUCGAGGGUGUUACAGUUUAUUGGUCCCCAUUGUAUAUUGUGUCAAAUUUUGACUAUAGAUUGAACAAACAAAACGUUCAUGCAUGUUAACAAAAAUUAUAUCAUUGAUAACUAUGUUGAAAUACGAAUCCAACGAUAUAAUUUUUGUUGACAUGCAUUAACAUUUUGUUAGCUAAAUAUUUGGUCAAAAUUUGGCACGAACUACAAAGGUGACCUAUAAACCAGGACGGAGGUAGUAGUAGUAAAUAGAGAGUUUCUUUUCUUUAAUGCCACAUACAUGAAUUGAAACGCUUGUUGUGGAGAUAAAAAGAUAAUCACUCCACUAUAUAUGUACGCUGGGGCCUGAGCGCUUGCUUUACUAGGGGCUCUCUUUAUUCUCUCAUCCUAAGAUCUAAACAAGACAGCGGUAGAGACAUUUUCUCUCUGCUCACCGCUGGUCACAGAUCCGUCCGGAUCCCUUUGGCUGGUGUGUGUAGAGGACUAGGUGCAUUGUUCACGCGGUCAUCACCGGCGAGGGAGGAAACCCACAACUGCCGGAGGGGACCGAUCCUUUGCCCGUGCCGUUCUCUCCGACACAGCGCCGGCUUGGGAGGUCCUCCGACCCUUCUUCCUCCAUGUCAUAUUGUGCGCAGAUCCGACCUGCCGCCGCCGACAUCCCGACGACCCUCAGGUAUAAGUUCUUCAAAAGCGGCCUUGCUCUAUUGCCCCAGCCCCCCACGUGUCUGCAUGUGCAUCUUUUUCGACUCCCAUCAGCUCUUCCAAAGCCAUCUAAUUUUUUAGUAUUAUUAGAGGUAAAGCUACUUCAUGCAUUCGAAUCUAGGACUUGGUUCAAACAACGAAGAAAGGGGGAAAGUUGUAGCAUGAAUCGAGGACUUGCUUCAAAGAGGAAAUAAUAUGGUGAAAGUAGUAGAGACCGGAUACCCAACCGGUCUCUUGGUUGAAAAGGGAAAUAAUGGGAAAACAUAGUACAAACCGGAUAAGGAAUAGAUCUAUUAUUGGUUGAAAAAAGAUAGAAAGUGGCGGCUCGUGGACAAGUCAACAGAGUAUGUCCAGGAUUAGACUUGUUGCCCUCACAUAGUAAAAGGUCUCCAGGAUUAGAAUUGCUUCCCUCACAUAGUAACAGGUCUCCAGGAUUAGAUUUGCUGCCCUCACAUAGUAAAAGGUCUCUAGGAUUAGAAUUGUUGCCCUCACAUUGUAAAAGGUUUCCAGGAUUAGAUUUGCUGCCCUCACAUAGUAAAAGGUCUCCAGGAUUAGAUUUGCCACCCUCACAUAGUAAAAGGUCUCCAGGAUUAGAUUUGCUGCCCUCACAUAGUAAAAGGUCUCCAGGAGUAGAUUUGCUGCCCUCACAGAUCAUGAACAAACUCGGCAUCACCACUUUAUGCCUCCUUGUAGGUAUAUUGUGCUGAUGCGUCCACUAUCGCAUGUCCUUAUACCAACCUUUUGUUGUUGUUAAUGUAAGGGCGCAUGUAAAAUGAAGCGAUCACACUGUUACCUUAGGGACAUGUCUAACCAGUGUUAUUGUUAAUAUAAUGCCUCCAGUGAUAUGAUGCAAUUAAACUGUGUUACAAAUGGUACUCCUGCUGUUUUGCCCAGUAUGAUAAGUAAGUUUCUCCUUUACGCUGCUGAGUGUCCUGGUGUCCCCACGGUCCCAUGCCCUUAAACCAACUCUUUAGCUGCUGUUGAUUUACUGUAUCUGGUAAACAAGCAAUGCCACCAUUAAAGUAAUCCCAUAUUUGACGAAUGUCAUUGUUGAUCGUAAUGCUUCCGGUAACAUGAAGCAUUGCUGACGUUUUAAAAUUUCUACUGUCCUUGCGUGAUUGCCAUGAACAUAAUUUAGAUGCUUCUUUUCAUUUCGUGUAUGUUUCAUAUAUUCUUAUUGAACAACAAUUGUUUACUUUCUAUCUUUUUGUGCAGAUAGGGAUAUCCAUUUCACCUUGUUGCUAUUGUGACCUUUUGGUGAACUGCACAAAACACUUUUUUUGGAAUGAGUGUCUUGUGCAGUUCAACUAAAAUGCCAUGUGGGCAACAUCUCUCAAUUUUGUUGGAACUGCACAAAAUGGUGAUUGGAGUUUCCAAAAUCUCUGUCAAAUUCUGCUGGUAAUCUCAUGCAACAUUUUAUUAGCCUUUGCAAGAUGAGCCGUCACUGUCACCACAAUGGCACUUUAUUUUAGUGGAACUGCACAAAAGGAUUAGCAAAUUAUAGUUGCACCUUACAUGAGCAGGACAACCAACCUUAAUGUUCCUCAAUUUUACUGCAACCACUAAAGAACCCACCAGCUCACGAGAGCAAGUACUUCUUGCUAGCUGAAUGAUACAAUCUUUGCUUCAUUUCAGGUGAACUGCAGAAAAAGGCGCAUGAAUUGAAUCAUGGAAGUCCAAGAAGGCCUCAUCUGAGUGGAGCUGCAGGUUAAGUUCAAGGAGUGCCACAAUUAUAGUAAUCAGGCUCUUCUUAUUUGUGUUGUGCAAACAGUAAUACUCAACUACAGAUGUUGUGACGGUCAAGAGCAUUCGCCAAGUUCUUCGGUUGUAUGACACGGCUAGCAAAGAUGGAUUUAAUCCCGAUAUUCACUUUAUCAAAAGGCUCUAAUGGGUUGGUUUUGAAUCUUGCAAGCUGGGAAUCAAUGAGAUGUGUAGGCAUAUUUGUUGUACUUAUGAUUUGAAUCAUAUUUGUUGGUUAUGAAUUUUGCAAGCUAGGAAUCAAUGAGAUGUGUAGGCAUCUUUGUUGUACUUAUUAUUUGGAUCUUAUUUGUUGGUUCUGAAUCUUGCAAGCUGGGAAGCACGGCAUGAUGAUACAGAGGACAACAACCAUAACAAACAAUUCAAACUUGGUAGUAUUAUCUGUGUGAAUGUGCCAAUACAGACCCGCUCGUGAACCGACGUGUGGCCGAAGUAGGUUUCUUUAUGGAGGCGUUUGAAUGCGUCGAGGGUGCAUCUUCUGUCUAGCAUGCAGCAGGCGAGGGAUGGGUAGUAACUGUUGUCGCCUGUACACACCCAGUUUACUGUUGAAUCCAGUUCCCCAAGAGCUGAAAAACGAACUGAUGCCGCCGCCUACCCACUCGUUCACUCGAAGAGACUCCAAUGGCGAUCCGAGGGGUGAGCCUGCUGGAUAUGGACUUCAGCAAGGAGUUCCCCUUUGAGUUCGUCAUUCAUUCCUAUGGCUACACCAAGUUGAAUGUGAUGUACACCAACAAUCCGGACUCGGUGAAGCCCUGCCUCGCCGAGUUCAAGAAGUACCAACAGGACGAGAAAGCACAAGGUCGCAGGACUUAGACCUUGUGCCCAUCCAUUCGUCUCCUGACAGGGUCUAGCGGAUCGCCGUCGCCCAGGUAUGUGUGCGGGACGAGGUUCUCAUCUACCACUUUUGUAGGGCCAUCAAAGGUUCUGGAGCAUUCGCUCGUUUCAUCGGCAGCGCCGACUGCACCUUCGCUACGGUGGAGAGAAGGAAGAACGCGACGAUUCGGCCAUCUGGUGCAACAAGCUUGUCGACAUCCAGAAGCAAUACAAGAUCAUCGGCAACGGGUAGGAGAAGGACUCUGAUGGGCACAUGGGUACAUCAUACAUGACAUUACAGAAAAGUGCACAAUUUAGUUGGAAAGAAUUACUAAGCCAAAUCAAGCAAACACAUGGCCAGGUGAACGCUAACAUAAGUUCAUACCACAAUCUUGACCAAAUGGCUGCACUUUCAUCUCCAUUGUCGUUGGUUGAACUUAGGUAUCACAUGGAAGAAAUCCAACAACCUAUGAGUUUUCGGAGAAACCGCUUUGGAGGAAAAAGUCUGGAGGAAACAAGUUUCAAGUGAAGCUGAUGCUGUCAGAUUUUACCUCUGAUAUUUCUUUGUGCCACACCCAUAUGGUGGAGAGACGGGGCCAUAGGGGUACAUCACCAGAAGCUCCAUCAAAUUAUCUUUCCAAUGCAAAAACCUCACAUCAUUUGGAGAUGUGAGUCAAAAGUUGUAGUCAUUCUCGUGGAAGGUGUUCAGGCUGUCAAGGCUUCGCGAAUUUCCGAGGAGCUCUCCAACAACUCCCAAAGUUGACUGCUUAUUCCCCCAAGAAAGCCAUGCAAACCUUUUUACUUUUGAAACCAUUUUCACACCUAGCCAAGGGGGGUUGUCCCUGCUAUAAAACCCCAUCUCCCCCAUCCUCUAGAAAACCUUUUGUCAAAACCAUUUAGCUACAAGCUUAUGUAGCAAGACUGCUAGAGAGAUCCGAGAGAUCUUGCUACCUUUGCUCUUGUGAGUUCAUUCGAAUUCACGAGAAGGAGCCUCUGGUUCCCCCUAGUUCGUGCUCUACGGUUCCGGCCGUUUUGUGUGGAUUAGUCCCGGUUUGUGGUUCUGCAAUUGUUCGAACAACGGUGGAGUUCUUGUAGCUUCGGCCAGCCUUACCCAACGUACGGGUUGCAUCCAACCUUGGUAGGUAUAAAGCUAGUUAUCCCGACUGCUUGCAGCGGGUACCCUCCUGAUUCGAUCCUACGAUGUGAAGAUCGGGCCACCCUCGGGCGUGAACUCGUUCAUCGGGUUCCCAUCUAUCAUCUGGCAUCAGAGCUUUCGUUGACACGGUAGGAUUUGUUUUCCAAUUUUAUGUUGCUAUCAUCCCUUUAGAUCGAGUGUUUUUCAUGCUAUAUUUUCUGUCCUAGAAGUCCAAAGCCCCACCAAAAAUAAAUUCAAGCCUUGUUGGUGCUGAGAUCUUGUUGUUGCAUACCUUGCAUGUUCUUCAUCUUUUAGAUCUGCACCAAGUUCAUCUUCAUAAUUGCUUUCAGAUUUGGUUGUUGUGCUUUGGAAAAAGAGAGAAAAAAAGAGUGGUAAAAAAAGAAUCAAAAAUAGAGAGUAAAAAAAGAGUGGAAAAAAGUCAAGAGAGAAAAAGAAAAGUGUUAUGUAAGAUCCAAAAGUUUCAGCUGGAUAGAAAAUUUUCAGAAGCUUGUGUGUUGUGUUUUUUCAAUCUUGGUGCAAAGGUGCAGCAGACCCAUCCACAUAUUUUUCUUGGUUUGCAUCAACUUGAUUUCAGCACAAGCCCCUUUUUGUUUACCCCACCGAGCUCCACCAAAAACCGAAGCUAAUUCUUUGAUCCCUGUCUUUCAAUCGCUUUAACACAUCCGGGAGAAGCACAAUCUAAUGUGAACUCAUAAGAACUUUGGUGAGUAAGAGGUGAGGUUGUGUGAUUCCACAAAAUUAUCCUAUUCCACUUUUGGCCUUACUAACAUGGCAGGAUUUGCAUCGAGUGUUCAUGGACAAAAUCAAGGGGAAAAAGACGCCCCGGUCACACGUGCUGAGUUUCUGGAAUUACGGAACAUUGUUCAAGAAUAUCAAAGGAGGCUUAACGAGCGUCUUCGAGCAAGUGGUGACGGGGUUCGACACCGACUAUACCCUGUUUCUCAUGAAGUGCAACAAAGAGGGCAUGCUCGAGGGCAUGAUACUGUUGCUCGUGGGCAUGUCACUACUACUCAAGAAGUGCGGCAAGGAUGGCACGCUCGAGGGCAAGCUACUUCUGACCUGAGGUGUGUUGCUGCUAUUCAUGAAUCGCAGCAAAGAUGUCAUGGCCGAUGACAGAGUUAUGGCACCCAUCGUCACACCGACGACCCACCGCAAAGCAGGACCAUUGUUGAUAAACCAACUCCGGUGAUUCAUAGCCCAUGUUCAUCUAAGAAGCUCACUCCUGAUGUUCGCAUCUCAGCCACCACCACUGUCCCAAAAUCCAGGAAACAUGUGCCACAAAUUCCAUCUGAGGAAGAGAGCCCACAAUCCAAAAUCCCACAACUUAAGACUGAUAAGAAAAGCAAGUUGAGUGGCUCCACCAAAAGUGAGGAAGAGUGUACACUUUCAAAAAUCCCACCACUUGAGAGUGAAAAGAAAAAUAAAUUGAGUGAUGUCACAAAAUGUGAGGAAGAGUGUCCACUUUCCACAUUUCCAUAUAUUGAGAGUGAUAAGGAAAGUGAGGUGAGUGAGUCCACAAAAUGUGAGGAUCAGAUUGUUCAUCAUGAGAUUAGAGAAAUGCAAGAUCUCCACCUAGAUAUACCACACAUUCAGAGAGAGAGAAUUAAUGAGUUGCGUGAGUCCACAAAAUGCAAGAUCAUUAGAGAGAUAAGCGAUCCACAACCCAAUAUACCACACAAUAAGAGUGAGAGGAUAACUGAGUUAUAUGAGUCCACCAAAUGUGAGGUUGAGAUUUUUCAACAAGAGAAUAGCAAGCUGAGUGAUCCACCACCAUGGGAAAUUAGUAGUCCACCAAAUGAAAAGAGAGAGGAACAUUCAAUAACUAACCUUUCACAAAGUUCUCUUUCUUUGCAAUAUGUGCAGGUGCAAAAGAAAUACCUAUCAGCUCUCUUACAACGAUGGGAGAUUGAGAUCCAAGCACAAAUAUGGAGGACAUGGAUUACCACUACACAAGGUGCGUGUGUGAAGAUUGAUUUUCAGAAAGGCAUUCAAGUACUCAAUGAGGUAAAACAAAAAGGAUCUUCCAUUUUGAUGGACCCCGAGGUAUGCACAUAUGAACUCUUGAAACAUUGGCGAAACGAAAUAAGAGAAAAAUUACUGGGAACAUCCCUUAGCAUGCCAUUAAUCCAUCAAUAUAAUGUUUUCCACCUUGAAGACAAAACAAAGGAGUUGGCAAACUUGAGAUCAACGCAAAAAUGUUCAACUUUUUCUUUCCCUAGUUAUUUUGUAGUGUCCUCGUGCUACAAUUUUGUAGAUCGAGUGAAGUCGAGGAUGACUUUUCUCCAAGAUAGGGAGGAUGAUAUGGACAUACUCAUGGUUGGUUAUAUAUUUGUGCUCCAUGGAAAUGUUUGCUGGAAGGAACUCCUAAGUCGAACAAAACAUCAUGUUGGCAUCGUCCAUAAGAUAGAAAAGUUGAAAACUAAAAAUCUCUAUAUCAUGAAACCUUUGCAUUAUGGUUUGGUAUUUCCAUGCUUUCUUUUGUGUGAUGACCAGGUAGAGUCGAGGACGACUCCUUUUCAAGAGAGGGGGGAUGAUGAGGACAUCUCGAUCAUUGAAACAACACCAAUCAUCCGUGGACAAAUACAUGAUCAUGUGAAACACAAUUCUAAGAGUCGAGGACGACUCUUCAUCAAGGAAGGGAGGAUGAUGGGCACAUGGGUACAUCAUACACGACAUUUCAGAAAAGUGCAAAAUUUAGUUGGAAAGAAUUACUAAGCCGAAUCAAGCAAACACAUGGCCAGGUGAACGCUAACUUAAGUUCAUACCACAAUCUUGACCAAAUGGCUGCACUUUCAUCUCCAUUGUCGUUGGUUGAACUUAGGUAUCACAUGGAAGAAAUCCAACAACCUAUGAGCUUUUGGAGCAACCGCUUUGGAGGAAAAAGUUUGGAGAAAACAAGUUUCAAGUGAAGCUGAUGCUGUCAGAUUUUACCUCUGAUGUUUCUUUGUGCCACACCCAUAUGGUGGAGAGACGGGGCCGUAGGGGUACAUCACCAGAAGCUCCAUCAAAUUAUCUUUCCAAUGCAAAAAACCUCACAUCAUUUGGAGUUAUGAGUCAAAAGUUGUAGUCAUUCUCGUGGAAGGUGUUCAGGCUGUCAAGGCUUCGCGAAUUUUUGAGGAGCUCUCCAACAACUCCCAAAGUUGACUGCUUAUUCCCCCAAGAAAGCCAUGCAAACCUGUUUACUUUUGAAACCAUUUUCACACCUAGCGAAGGGGGUUGUCCCUGCUAUAAACCCCAUAUCCCCCAUCCUCUAGAAAACCUUUUGUCAAAACCAUUGAGCUACAAGGUUAUGCAGCAAGACUGCUAGAGAGAUCCGACAGAUCUUGCUACCUUUGCUCUUGUGAGUUCAUUCGGAUUCGCGAGAAGGAGCCUCUGGUUCCCCCUAGUUCGUGCUCUAUGGUUCCGGCCGUUUUGUGUGGAUUAGUCCUGGUUUGUGGUUCUGCGAUUGUUUGGACAGCGGGUUGGAGUUCUUUUAGCUUCGGCCAGCCUUCCCCAACGUACGAGUUGCAUCCAACCUUGGCAGGUAUAAAGCUAGUUAUCUCAGCUGCUUGCAGCUAGUUAUCCCUCCUGAUUCGAUCCUAUAACGUGAAGAUCGGACCACCCUCGGGCGUGAACUCGUUCAUCGGGUUCCCACCUACCAGACUCCGUGGUUGACCUCGCUGAGACCAUCAUCGACCCCUGAUACACCAACAUGAAAGAAGACAAUGAUACCAAGGACCUGAACAUGUGGGAGGUACCUCUAAAUCUAGCCUACAUAACUUACGCGGCCAAGGACGCAUACGCAUGCUACGACGUGUACAUGCGGAUCUUGCACAUGAGGGCGUGUCUACUUCCCGUAACCGACGAGUACACGGACAGCCGCAACGUCAUGAUCAACCGUGCCAGGAAGGUCUAGACGUUGUACUUUAUCUGUUUAUAAGCACCUUUAUCAUCUGAGUGUUUCAUGCAUUAGCCUAUGUGUUGUAAUUAUCUAUUUUGUCCGAAAUAUUACUUUUAAGAACGCAUUAACCUGUUUGCUUUUUUAGUGGCUAUUUUCUUAUGUAUGUAACUAGUUCACUUGUCCGUUUAAGAAAAACUAGUUCACUCGGCUGUCGUGCUUUGAAUCUCCUUCCAGCCAACAUAUUCCCCUUCUCAGGUGGACCCAGCAGGUCUCGUACACAGACAUAUGGUACCAACCACCUAUCCAUUUGUAGUUCUUUAUUUUGUUCAAUCUUUCAUCCUCUUCCUAUACAGCGGCUGGCCAUCCCUCUACUCCCACACAUUAUCCGGCGGCGGCAGCUCCACCGGCCCACCCUGCACCCGAACAAGUCUACCGUCGUACUCCCCCUCCGCCUGUGUCUUCUCCCGCUCCGGUUCGUUCUGUCCGAGGUCUCGACAUCGUCCUCCGCCUUGGUGCUCUCGCCGCGGCGCCGCCAUCUGUCGUUCCCAACAUGGUCAGCAAAACAAGAGGAAUCGGGAGACAACUCUUCGUCAAGAGGCUGACAGUCCCGGGCCCACCAGGUCCAUGGAAUAGGUUUUGUUGUUUAACAAGGGCACCCCAUGACAUGUUUCAACAUUUUUUGGAUCCAGCAGGUAUCAAGCAGCCGCUGGGCCUCCCAACCUAGCUUGUCUAUAACAUCAGCAUCCCAAGUUAUGUUUGUUUUUUCAAGACGACGCACAGCUCAGUUCUAUUUUUCUAUACGAAUGAAAAACUGAACCUAUGUUUUCUAUAAGAAUGCAAAAACUGAACCUAUAUUUAUAUAUAAUAGAAACAACAUAAGGUUUUGUUAAACCUGUCAUUCGUCCAACCAUUUUAUACACCUUCCCACUUCCUUUAUUUUUCAUUUUCAUUAAUCCUAUAUCUGAAUUUUCUCCCACUUUAUUUUUUGAUGUAAAAUGAGUUUUCUCCCAGUACUUUUCCCUAGAACCAAUUCAACUGUCCCACGUCUAGCGUAAAUAAUAAUAAUACCCCACGUCCUAUUAACUCAUCAAAUUAAAAUGAUAUUUUAUUUUGUAAGUUAAAAGUUCUUACAAAAUAAUAAUAAUAAUAAUAAUAACAAUAAUAAGUGUUUAUAUAUAACUUGGCAAGUUAACUCCUAGUGAUUGCGUACAUAAGCUUGCAAAGAUUUUACUAACCCAUGCAGUAAUAGACAUGCAAUCAUGUGUUUAUGUUUUUAUAAUAUUUCUCUAUCCAGCCCAGCAUGGUAUUUUCACCCAGCCCACCAAAUGGACCAAAAAACAAAUGGACUGGCUGACAUGUGGGCCAGCAGGUUGAAGCCUAACAAGGCGUUGGAUUUACAUCCAACGAUCGACAUUCUUCUUCAAUCUCUCGUCCUAUACCCCCAGCGCUGCUGGGACCACCUGCUCCAGCCUCCGGCGUCCAGCGGAGUUGUUUUGCGCGCCUUAGCGAAAUGCUACCCCGCCGAUGACCAGUCCAUCCCUCCACUCCGCACCUCCUGUUAUUCUCUGCCGAGUGUAGGCCCACCCCACACCUGAACCAGUCAAGUUUCCCACUCCUCUCCGUCUGCGACUCCACUGCCGCGUCUUCCCCAUCUCCGGGUCGUUCCAGUCUGGGGACUCGCCGUCGUCCAUUGCCUCGCUGCACUCGGCGUGGUGUGGUCAACAAACGAGAGUCAUCGGAAGAGGACUAUACUUGGAGAGCCUGACGGCUGGGACCCACGAGGUCCAUGGUCAGUACGCAAGGAAAGUUCCUCAUUAUUAAGUUGUUUCCUCCCCCUGACAGCUGGGACCCACCGGCUGUAUCUUCGCAUGGAAGGAAGUGCCUCCUUGUUAUGCGAAAAAACUAUUCCUCCCGAUGACAGUUGGGACCCGGCAGAUUUGGAGGCUGACUUGUGGGCCUACUAAGCAGACGUGUAUGCAUGGCUUUUUCAACUUAAUCAACAAAUGAUUCUAGCAGCUGGACCGUUGGAUGUUAAUCCAACAGUCGUGCUCCUUCUUCAAGCUCUGUUCUUGCUCCUGUCUCCCGUGGGCGGCAGUGCUCCCGUGCACCUGAACCAGUCAAGUUUCCCACUCCUCUCCAUCUGUUACUCCACUGCCGCGUCUUCCCCAUCUCCGGGUCGUUCCAGUCUGGGGCCUCGUCAUCGUCCAUCGGCCUUGGUGCACUCGGCAUGGUGUGGUCAACAUGGUCAACAACCAAGAGUCAUCGGAAGAUGACUAUACGUGAGAGGCUGACAAAGGGGACGCACAACGCUCAUGGACGCAUGCAUGCAACUGCAUCCUUUUUACCCUGAAUAAUAGUUUUCUCCCCCUGACUGCUGGGACCCACCAGCUACAUCUUCGCACACAAGGAAGUGCGUCCAUAUUAUGGGCAAAAAAAAUGAUCGCUCCCCUAACUAGUGGGACCCACCAGGUACAUCUUCGCACGCAAGGAGGUGCCUGAUAGUCAGGACCCACUUGGUCGAAGCGUACGUAGCAUUGUCAUUCUGGUUGCGAACGUGUACGUACAUACGAUCGGUCUGUUUGUAGGCUGCAGCGAUGAACCGUGGCCGUGUAAGGAAGGGCACGUGUCGUAGUAGAGGCGCACACGUAGCAUGUACAUGUACGUACAGUGGCCAUGUUGCAAGAAAGUAAAUACGGCCACGUACGUACAUACGGGCGGGGUCUCGAAUGCCUACUCGCGCAUAUGUAUGGCCAGGGCUCGUGUACAUGGCUGGGUCGGAAUGGAGAAGCUACGCCGUCGUCGUGUUCAUGGGGAGACAACCGGAUGGGUCGGAACGGAAUGCGUUGUCGUGUUCAUCGGGAGCCAACCGGCUUGGAGGGAACAGCCGAUGGAAAUGAGGCCUGGCGUACCGCUGAACGGAGGAAACAACCUUGUGUUCGACCAGCCAAGGUCGAAACGGGAUCCUGUUCAUCGGGAGGGGUCUGGCGUACCGCAAAACGGAGGAAACGGACUUCUGUUGGACCUCCUACGGUUGAAACGGGGUCCUGUUGACCGGGCGGGGUGUGGCGUACUGCAAAACGGAGGAAACGGACUUGUGUUGGAGCACUACGGUCGAAACGGGGGUCCAAUUCAUCGGGAGGGAUGUGGCGUACCGCAAACCGGGACUCCACGGGAUACUGUUCAUCUUCACCAUCGACCUCCUCCAGCGUCCACGGGCUACUAUUCAUCCACCGUCGACCUCCUCCAGCAUCCACCUGCGACUGUUCAUCCACGGGCUCCUGUUCAUCCAGCCUCCACGGGGUCCUGUUCAACCACCCCUCCACGGGUACUGUUCAUCCAGCCCUCCACCGGCUACUAUUCAUCCAGCCCUCCAACGGCUACUGUUCAACCAGCCCUCCACGGGGUCCUGUUCAUCCAGCCCUCCACAGGGUCCUGUUCAUCCACCGGCUCGUUCGAUCGGGGUACUGUUCAUCCAGCGGCAAUGGCCUCUACUACCAUGGGUUCCUGUUCAUCCAACCCCCACUGGGAACUGUUCAUCCAAACACCCCAACAAUGCUCAAUGUUUAUCCAGAGGCAGCAUCGAUCGGCUUCAGUUAGCAGCAGUACCAAAGGAAUCACUCGGGUUCAGUUAACAGCAAGGGAUCGAUCGAUCGCUCGGGUUCAGUGUAAUGCGUAGCCUGCAAUGCAAUCGCUCGGGUUCAGUUAGAGCCCAAUGCCUCGCUCGGGUUCAGUUAGAGCCCAAUGCCUCGCACACACGCGCGUACGUGUAUGAGAGAAAUGCGCAUCGCUCGGCCCCCGACCACCCACUGUAACCGGGAACUCCCCGAUAUUUUCUGCGCCCUCGCUUCUACCAUGGUUUUUCCCGUCAUGGACGGCCCAAAGAAUGUCAUGCAGCUGCGUCUCCGGCCCACCCAGGACGAAAAGCCCAUUUUCUGUCAUGGUUUUUUGUCAUAAAAGCAGUAACCCACCACAUCUAUGAUGAUACCGUGUUUUGUCACAAUUAUCAUCAUAGAAGUGUCAUAAGUAUGACAGGAAAAAAAUUCGUUCGGCCCAAAAUGUCACGGAUGUGUCUUUUUUGUAGUGUAUAGUGCUAUAUCCAUGGCCCACUCUCAUGUAUUGCGUGAAAGUUGAAAAAGUUUGAGAAUACUAAAGUAUGAAACAAUUGCUUGGCUUGUCAUCGGGGUUGGUGCCUGAUCUGAAUAUUUUGUGUGACGAAGAUGGAGCAUAGCCAAACUAUAUGAUUUUGUAGGGAUGAACUUUCUUUGGCCAUGUUAUUUUGAGAAGACAUGAUUACUUUGUUAGUAUGCUUGAAGUGUUAUUAUUUUUAUGUCAAUAUUAAACUUUUGUGUUGAAACUUUCAGAUCUAAACAUUCAUGCCACAAUAAAUAAAAUUACAUUGAUAAUUAUGUUAGGUAGCAUUCCACAUCAAAAAUUCUGUUUUUUAUCAUUUACCUACUCAAGGACAAGCAGGAAUUAAGCUUGGGGAUGCUUGAUACGUGUCCAACGUAUCCACAAUUUUUUAUUGUUCCAUGAUAUUAUAUUAUCUGUUUUGGAUGUUUUAUGUGCAUUUAUAUGCUAUUUUAUAUGAUUUUUGGGACUAACCUAUUAACCUAGAACCCAGUGCUAGUUUUUGUUUUUUCCUUGUUUUUGAGUUAUACAGAAAAGGAAAACCAAACGGAGUCCAAUUGACAUGCCAAUUUUUGAUAAUUUUGUAUGGACCAAAAGAAGCCCCGGGAGUAAAAUAGUUGGGCCAGAAGAGUCUCGAGCCAUCCACGAGGGUGGAGGGCGCCCCCCUGCAUCGUGGAUGACUCGGAGACCCCCCUGAUGUGAGACCGACGCCAAAAAUUCCUAUAAAUAUAGAAACCCCCCGAAAAGAAACCAAGAUCGGGAGUUCCGCCACCGCAAGCCUCUGUAGCGACCAAAAACCAAUCGGGGCCCUGUUCUGGCACCCUGCCAGAGGGGGGAUCCAUCACCGGUGGCCAUCUUCAUCAUCCAGGCGCUCUCCAUGAUGAGGAGGGAGUAGUUCACCCUCGGGGCCGAGGGUAUGUACCAGUAGCUAUGUGUUUGAUCUCUCUCUCUCUCUCGUGUUCUUGAUAUGGCACGAUCUUGAUGUACCGCGAGCUUUGCUAUUAUAGUUGGAUCUUAUGAUGUUUCACCCCCUCUAUCUCCUUGUGAUGAAUUGUGUUUUCCCUUGAAGUUAUCUUAUCGGAUUGAGUCUUUAAAUAUUUGAGAACACUUGAUGUAUGUCUUGCAUGUGCUUAUAUGUGGUGACAAUGGGAUAUUCACGUGAUCCACUUGAUGUAUGUUUUGGUGAUCAACUUGGGAGUUAUGUGACCUUGUGAACUUAUGCAUAGGGGUUGGCACACGUUUUUGUCUUGACUCUCUGGUAGAAACUUUGGGGCAAUCUUUGAAGUUCUUUGUGUUGGUUGAAUAGAUGAAUCUGAGAUUGUGUGAUGCAUAUCGUAUAAUCAUACCCGUGGAUACUUGAGGUGACAUUGGAGUAUCUAGGUGACAUUAGGGUUUUGGUUGAUUUGUGUCUUAAGGUGUUAUUUUACUACGAACUCUUCGGUUGUUUGUGACACUUAUAGGAAUAGCCCAAUGGAUUGAUCAGAAAGAAUAACUUUGAGGUGGUUCCGUAACCUACAAUAAUCUCUUCGUUUGUUCUCCGCUUUUAGUGACUUUGGAGUGACUCUUUGUUGCAUGUUGAGGGAUAGUUAUAUGAUCCAAUUAUGUUAUUAUUGUUGAGAGAACUUGCACUAAUGAAAGUAUGAACCCUAGGCCUUGUUUCGAAGCAUUGCAAUACCGUUUGUGCUCACUUUUAUCAUAUUAGGUACGUUGCUGUUUUUAUAUUUUUAGAUUACAAAAACCUAUAUCUACCAUCCAUAUUGCACUUGUAUCACCAUCUCUUCGCCGAACUAGUGCACCUAUACAAUUUACCAUUGUAUUGGGUGUGUUGGGGACACAAGAGACUCUUUGCUAUUUGGGUGCAGGGUUGUUUGGGAGAGACCAUCUUCAUCCUACACCUCCCACGGAUUAAUAAACCUUAGGUCAUCCACUUGAAGGAAAUUUGCUACUGUGCUACAAACCUCUGCACUUGGAGGCCCAACAACGUCUACAAGAAGAAGGUUGUGUAGUAGACAUCACUAUGUCACCACUUCGGAGUGCCGAGCUCUUUGCUCCGCCACCUUAGGACUGGCUUGGGGGCUAGGAGAUCGUCCCGCCAUAAGCUCAGGCCGCACAUCGACACCGAGCACAUUAACCAGCUAAAUCGCUUCCAUGCUCAGUUUUUUGCUUGUUCGGUUCGACCAAACAUUAUAUUUGUCUUAAAAACUUAGUUUGUUAACACACAUUUGUUAAAAACACUUCCUUUCCCAUGUUAACUGGGGGCUCUUAAAUUUGUACGAGCUAUUCUAUAAUAAUUGUUUUCUUCCUAGUUGUUGCAAAGUCUUUUUCUACCACUCCAUUCUCGACUUGAGUGUGUGGUCAAUAGCCGGAUAGCCUGUUUUCUCUCUAAUGCCGCUCGAGUUUAGUUCACUAAACUGGGCUAACGAGUAGUACUCCGCCUUUGGGAUAGGAGGUUGCAGCCGUAGGCUGACCCGCUUGAAGUCUUGAGAUCGGAUGUGUCAUAUUAAUGCACGCCACCAGCACGGAAAUAAGACCAAUUUUCGGAUUGGCACCAAAUGACUUGAUUUAGUUCAGGCGUAAAGUUUUUACUGAAGUUUUUUGGUUUUACAAGCCUAUGGCACUUUUAAACUAUUUGUGUGUUUCUAGCAUAGGUCUCGUAGUGCAAUGCCGGACACCUUUAGAGAUUCGGCAAAAACAUUCUCGGAUAUUGAUAUAUAUGCAUCGGUUUCGAAUUGUGUCUUCGGUCAAUAGUUGGGUUGCCCUGCUCCUGUGCUUGCCUCCUAUGUUCCGCUUUGUUCGGCCAGGUGUGCAAAGGGAGAACCACUGCGAUUGUGCUUCCAGCUCGAAUGGUUAAGCACCUCAGUGGAGAAAGCCGAAAACUAGCUGUCAUAAUGGGCGUAAACUGGUCAGCGAUCCGAUGACGGUGUCAAACUAUAGAUUGAUAGCGGUUACCCUGUGUUAAACAAUGGGACUUUCAUAACAUUGGCCGAAGUGUUAAUGGCUAGACUUCGGUCAGUGCCGAACACUAACCGGGGGCUCAUAGCUAGCUUCCCCAGUUUAAAGCUCCUGUGUCUAAGUGAAAGUUAUAAAGCCCGCAUAUCUGAUUGCCUUGUUUCCGCUAACACAACCGCCUUCGGGCACCGAGACAUCGGCGAAGGGUUGUUUUAUUAUUGCGGAAACACCCUGCGUAGCAUCUACAAGGGGGUGGAAGCCGACGAUGGGCCACUUUCAACUGAUAAACAGUCGCAGCAGAGUCAAAAUAAACAUAUCAUUGGUGUUUCUAUUUAAUAUAUGAGGGCUGCCUUCCGUAAUAUCGUUAUAAAGCCAUAAAUAUGCAUCAAUUUGACAUAAGAUUUUGGCCAAGCUGGGUUUCCUGGCUCCUGUGCUUACCCCUACGUCCCCGAUUGUUCAGCUAGGUGGUAAAGGGAGCACCUCUGUGAUUGUUACUACCGGGUCAUCCGAGUUGGUACCUCAAACUGGGUGAAGCCGGAAGCUAGCGAUCUUUAUGGAUAUAAUUGGUCGACAAUGACGGAAGUGAAAAUUUAGGUUCGCUAAAGACCACAUAGUUCAGGAACUUUCCCCAAACUAAAUCCUCAAUAUUUUUAUCCCGCGUUGAUCGGAGGUGAGGUUUCAUGAUCAUGGUCGGCAUGACAACCCAAAGAAAGGAACCGAUAGCGGGACUGUUUUCUUUUGAAGAUGUUUCUUACAUUAAUAUAACAUUCUCUCCGCAUACCUUUGCUUAUAAAACCGUAUGGCCGGAUUGCCUUGUUUGUCGUAAAUAUUUUCCCUCAUAAAGGCUUUAUAAAGUGGGACAAACACUCCCUGGCUACUGGCCAAGGAGGCUGAAGCUGAUGGCCGGUCAACAAAGUUUUGUACAGUACGGAUCCAAACAUUAAUGAUGUAGAGUACUUGGAUACAUAGAAUCAUUACAAAUAAUUUGUGAUUUUACUCCGGAUAUCGAUCCUUAAUUCGGGCACUCGUGCCCACAUUAAGGCUCGGGGGCUACUAGGCUUCGGGCUAAUCAUUUACUAAUAUUAAAGGGCCACAUCGAUCCCCUGAUCUGGUGUUGCCACCCGACCGGUGUCUUGGGGGCUACUGUAUUGCCUAUUCAACACAGCAAAUUCAAAGUGCUCAGUGUUUGGCUUGACCGAACUAUGGGCAAAUGCAUCUUCGGAUAACAAUAGGAACUAUCCAGGACCUAUCCAACAUCAAGCUAAUAUAUUAUGGCGACUUCUCGAGACCCUCUCUCAAGGCCCGUCCGCCGAUCACUAUCUCCUCUAAUGUGCAUCUCGGAUUUUAGGCCGACACACACCUUGAGGGCUACUUGCUAUAUAUCUCGUCAGUAAAUAAAUUGCAUCAAUCAGAAAUAAAAUCCACAAACAAUCAGCCCAAGCCCGAGGUGGUGCAUCACCUAGUAAGAAGUCCGACAUAAAGAUCGGUUGCAAGUGGUUGGCUCCAUAGAGGGCAUCUCCGGCAUUAAGCUCGGUUGAACCCUUUUAUCUUUUUUAAGACUGAGGUAAUUUAUGAUACCUCGGAUACAGUCCGGUGUUGAAGCUCCAAUACAUUCCAGCAUUGGUGCUCGGAAGCGGUCCAACGUUGGUGCUCGGCUGCAAAAGAUACCCUGAAUGCAGUCCGGCGUUGGAACUCGGAUGCAAGAGGACACCGCCGCACGGGAACAACUUCAAACCCGAGGUGUGGCUUAAAAAAUAACAAGGCAUUGAUAAAGGCCCAUAACUUAAAGGGGAUCAUCGGAUACCUGACGUGUAAACUCUUCGAAUUCACUUCGCCAAUCCUCAAGUUCGAAGAUGAGAAGAUUUGUUGAACCAGUUUGCAAGACCGACGACUGAAGAUGAAGAACAAUUUGGAAGAAUCGAGGAUCGUCCACAACUUGAAGACUGGUUCAGGGGGCUACUGACGGUGUCCUGGACUAGGGGGUACUCACCAAGUCGUCUCUCGACCAGCUGGAUCAGGCCGAGGACCCCCACGGAGGUUCACUCAUGGGCCACUUUGGGCAGCCCAUGCCGCAUACAAGGGAGAUCCCACAAGACUUGGCACACAAGAUGAGGACUCUCCUAAACCCUAGGCCUCUAGUGUGUUAUAUAAACCAAGGCCAGGCUAGUCAAUAGAGAACAUCUAAUAUUCAUUAGAACAAUCUCGUGGUAUAUACAUGCACUCUGUACUACACCCCAUAUGAAUACAAUCAAAAGCAGGGCAUAGGGUUUUACCUCCAUCAAGAGGGCCCGAACCUGGAUAAAAUUUCGUGUCCAUGUUACCAUCACUCCAAGACGCCUAGCUUAGGACGCCUACUACAAGAUAUGCCGGAUAUAGAACCGAUAAUGGGGCCACCCAUGACUUAGCCCACAGGGGAGUUGGCCGAAGUGGUCGGGAGAGUGUCAUGGUGGUAGAUCGGUUUUGUUGGAAUGUCAUUGGUCCACAUGUAUGGGAGUGUGAGGCCAUGGGUUCCGUGGUGUGGGUAAAGUGCGCUACCUUUGCAGAGUGUGUUUUUAAUCUAUCGACAGCCGUGCCCGUGGAUAUGGGCCCAGUUCAUAGUCAGUCACACUACGAGCCAACAACAAUAACAAAAUGAAUAAUAAUAAUAAUAAUAAUAAUAAUAAUAAUAAUAAUAAUAACUUGCUUAAUAAUAACCCCGGUUCGAUGAUGAGAAAGAGAUUGGUUGUGAUCGAGAGAGGAUCACAAAGUUAGUUGAUAUUUAUGUGAUCGCGAGAUGAUCACGGAGGUAUCUUGGAUACCGAUGUUGGUAAGUUUAUGCAUGAGAUGGUUACGAGGUAACCGACGAGCAGAGUUAGUUGGUGCAUGAUCAUGUUAACCUGUUGCAUGUAGUAUCAUCAUGUUCAUAUGCUCAUAUUGUUCUAGUUGUAUCAUGUUCAGUUGUGCAUGCCAUGUUGUUCUGUCAGUAUCAUGUUCAUGAAUGCUUUAACCUGCUAAUGCCAUGCUGUUGUUUGUCUUGACUGCUUUUGGUUUAUUGUGAGCUUGCAAGUACAUUCAAUGUACUGACUUGGCAUGUCAUGCCAGUUUGCAGGUCAUGCCUAGUUUUCGUGCUUGUUUGGUGUGGUUCCUGUGUUCGUGAGCUAGGAUAAACGUUCCUAUCAUAGUCCCUAUGGAUUAGAGUCCAUCAUCAUUGUUCGUUGUUCCGCUGCCAAUAGAGGUUCUGCUGCCUUGAGUUGUUAUGCUACUUGCAUAGAGCAAUUGUGGUUGGCGUAGCGUCACCGUGCCAGUGUUAUUCAUUGUAAUAUCGGAGACCUUGUAUUCAUAUUCGUGUUGUAAUAUAGAGUUGGUUUGUUCUAUGCUAAGCAGUGUCGUAUUCCAGAAGACUUCUCCUCGAUCUUUGGGCUGUAAUACGAGGUGUUCCGGUUUCUCUGAGCCGGGGUACCACACGCACCCUCGUGGGCAAGGCAUUCCGCAGCGGGUUCUACUGGCCCAUGACGCUCGAUGAUGCCACUGAGCUGGUGAGAUCCUGUGACGCCUGUCUAUUCCAUGCCAAACAGAUCCACUAGCCCACUCAGAGCCUCCAGACCAUCCCGCUCUCAUGGCCAUUCACAGUCUGGGGGUUAGAUAUCUUGGGCCCAUUCCCCCGAGCGGGCGGCGGCUAGAGCUACCUCUAUGUCACCAUUGACAAGUUCACCAAGUGGGCGGAGGUGGAGCCCGUGCGCACCGGCCCAGCUGGCUCGGCCGUCAAGUUCAUCAAGAACCUCGUGAGCUGCUUUGAGGUCCCCAACUGUAUCAUCACUAACAAUGGCUCUCAGUUCAUGAGAAACCUCUUCAAAACACAUUGUGCUAACCUUGAAAUGUAGAUAUGCUACGCUUCGGUGGCGCACCCACGGAGUAACGGCCAAUCCGAACGCGCCAACAUGGAGGUCCCGAGGGGCCUCAAGGCGAGGAGCUUCAAGAAGAAACUCGAGGCCUACGACAGGGGUUGGCUCGAUGAGCUUCAGUCCAUGCCGUGGUCCAUCUACACCACCGCUACUAAGCCCACCGGCGAGACCCCAUUCUUCCUCGUCUACGGGGCUGAGGAGUUCCUCCCUCAUGAGGUCAAACAUCGCUCCCCGCAGGUCUUAGCAUUUGACGAGGCACGCUAGGAUGCCUCACAGGGGAUGGACCUCGUUCUCGGGGAGGAGGGUCGCCGCCAAGCCUCGCUCCGUGCCACAAGGUACCAGCAGGCGCUAUGGCGGUACCACUACCGUAGCGUCCGCUCCAGGCCCCUCGAGGUGGGUGACCUCGUCCUGAGACGGGUGCUCUCCAGGGAGGGUCUUCACAAGCUCUCCCCUAUGUGGGGGGCCCGUUUAGGGUCGCCCAUGUCUCCAGGCCUGGCACCGCACGCCUGGAGACAUAGGACGGGGUCCCCAUUGAUAACGUCUGGAACAUCCAGCACCUCCAGAAGUUCUACCCUUGACCAGCAAGCGCCAUGCGCCUCUCAAGUCUCCGCUCGUGACACUCUCACAUAAUAAUGAGUGGGGUUGUACACGCCCCGGAGUCUCCUGAGUGCCACCCUUGGGCCUCAUGGGAGAUACCACCCACAUCCUAGUGGAAGCCCCAUGCUCUGUGCUGCUGGAAAGACCAAAAGACUAGUGUAGGUGCCGGAUGCGGCUAUUCUUUUCUUGCUUUCUGUAGCUGAUUUGCCACUUCUUGGAAUGAAAUUUGAAGUUCUCGUGACUUUAUUUGAAAGGGUUGGGAAUUUUUUCUCCUCGCAGCAUUCGCUCUUCCAUAUUUUGCCUUAGGGAGAGUGACAGUUGCCCAUCGCUCUUCCUCGCGCGUCUCCCGCGUGGGGGCUGGGCACGGUGUGUGCGCUUGGGCCCGCCCGCGAACGCACCUCGCCAAAGCCUUGGUGCCCUAGCCUUUGGCAUAUUAAUCCUCGCGCAACUCUCUUGAACGAGCCAACGGGCAUGCACGCCCUCCCGAGUCUAUACCUCCGGGCAUCGCGACACGGCGUACCAGCGGCUACUGGCCCAUGCUCGAGGGCUCACGCAGGGCACGUCACCUCCGAAGGUCCCCUAACCUCGCAGCCAUCGGGUGCCUCCCGAGGCCUAAGGACCUUCGAAUCCUAAUGGAAGAAACCCUUGGUAGGACCUCUCCGGAACGAGGGGCGCGGAGGAGGCCCAAGCUCCAGAGAAGCACGCUAUCAUGGCACGGGAGUCUACCGCAAGCACACUAAGCUAAGUCAUCCCAAUCACGAUCAGCAAGAACCCGUCAAUUUUAGUAGCAACACGGAUGUCAGGAUGCAAUAUAAAAAUGAUAAAAUAACGGCGCAAGCGUCAUGGUCCAUUACAUGCCCCGACAGGGCUUUCCGCUUUUUUGAUGGAGAAAAAAGAAGAAGAAACGAAAGCAGCCCCGCGACCACUGCGGCUCCUAAGACCUGGCUCCAGCGACGCCCACGCUUAGUAGAAAUCCUCCUCCUGCUUCACUGGGUCGCAACGGUGAGGCGGCUCACCGCCCUCCUUGGUCCGAGCUCGGCGGCAUGGCGGCUCGUCGUAAUCACCGUCACUCGUGCUCUCCCCAGAGGAGGAGCCGCCGCUGCUGGAGGCAUCGCGACUGUCGCCAAGGGAAAGCUCACUGCCGGAGAUGCCAUCGCCCCUCCAACCAUCGCAAUUGGAGGGGUGGACAUCGUCGACGUCGUUCGUUGUCGCUCUCCGGGCAGCACCCGAGGCGCCUGCCGUCCUCCCCGAUGACCCUGACAUAGAGGGUCGCAACGCCGUCAUGCCUGAAGUAGCGGGUACACCUCCCCUGCUGGCCGCGUGCGCGGGCCAACGGCUGCCACAUGCGGUUCAGGUACACGCUGCCGGCGAGGGUGACCUCGACCUCCACCCACGAGGCCCUGCUGCAGCAACCAUCGGCUUGCAGCCUGAGGCCGCCAAGUCCCCCGGUCGGCAACACGCCUAUGAAGAAGCAUGGGAGCUGGAACCAGACGCCUAUGGGCCUCUCCACCCACACCACGAGCUUCGAGGACACAUCGGACGAAUGAGAUCGCGAGCGCGGUGGACGACUGGUUUCCACAUGCCUCCCUCCUUGGUCCUGGCCCCCACAGCCGCGGCAGCCUCCACCGCAGGAGGGAGCACCCCCAUGACUGCCGGAGGUGGUACCAGCCUUCAAGGGGGUGCAACCAUGCCCUCAGGGAGCUACCGCUAGCAUCGCGGCAUACUUGUGGGGACGGCCGCGACCCCUCUUGGGCGGUGGCGGGCUUGGUCCCUCCUGCGGGGCCUUUCCCUUCUCGGCGGCAGAGAACCUCCUCACUGGUGCCAUGGAUGCUUUGGCAAGAUGGUGGGACAAAUAAGAAGAAGGAGAAGACAGUGAGGGGAUGAAGAUGGACUAGGGGCUCCGCCCCCUGGCCCCAUUUAUAGCCAGAGGAAGGCUAACCGGUGGCCUCUCACAUUCCAAGUCAUGAUGGCCUUUCUGCAUGCACCAGGCAGGUGUCAAGUCGGGCGGUUGCCGAGGCGGCAUGGGGAAUUGGAGACGCCCAUGUCCCAUCAAGCGCUACGCAUCGACUCGGUCCGCAGGUGAUUGGGGCCCGCAACGCUUCGCCCUUGACCAUUGGCUUCGCUUCGAAGCCAAGUCCGAGCGCGCCUUGGGCCUGGGGGCUACUGUCGGCGUUCAAGCAAAUAGGGUACCCGGACUUGCCUGGCUGCGGCCCACGAUGUAGCUCCAUCGAUGGCCUGGUACGGCCCAUCUACAAGACCAUCAAGACAAGACUCUCGCGAGGGGCCAAGCCUCGCGAGGGGGACAACACUAAGACCUCCGGAGGGAGCGGCCUCUCCAAGCGGCCUCCUAAGGAGCGAAGCUUUCUAUGCACGCGCCCAACCUCAUCAGGUUGUAAUGACGCAAACCAUGAUGACCAGGGCCAGGCGGGCACCAGCGGGCGCAAAGGAGGCAGUUUCCACUUUGGUACUAAGGAAGCAAGCAUAGGCGUGGGUUCCGGAGGACUCAGGCAAAGGUUUCCAUUCCCAUGCAACAAUACCAGGACCGUCAGGACGACAAGACAGAUGUCAUCGCCGAGCCCACCACAGUGUCACGACCACAAGCUUUUCAGGCAAAGACCACCUUUCAUCAGGAUAAGAUGUACUACUUGUCCCCUUUCAAAUUGGCCACUGUGGGAUCCCUUCCCACCUACGUUUUGGGGGAAGAGGACCGAGGCCACUAUAAGUAUAGGUUAGCCACCACCAUAGCGGGGGCGAAACCUCGUCGACUCAUUCCCCCACCAGAGCAGAUCUCGCGAGGUUGUUCAUCCCUUAUACUAGUUCAUCCUCAGCCCCUUGUGAGGCCAAUCCACCACAAAGCAGGAGUAGGGUUUUACACCGCAAGGUAGCCCGAACCUGGGUAAACUAACACACCCAUCUUCUUCCUUGUUCAUCGGGUUAGGCCAUGUGGCGAUGAGCUGGUUGGCUCGAUAGGUUGAGUCCUUCGCACACACCCUAGAGUUCGAACCUUUCUUGGGUCUGCGGAGCCCUGAAUCCGACAGCACUCCCGCACGUUGCAAACGCGGCCGGUGAGCAGACCUAGCAACCUCCAUUACAAAGGAAGUUGCUUUACACGGUCCAAUCUGGCGCGCGCCGCUCAGUCACUAACGUCUAGGAGGCUUUGGCUGAUACUACGACGUCGAGUGCCCAUAACUAUUCCUGCGUGGUGGUUAGUGCGUAUAGGCCAGUGGCCAACUCAGAUCAAAUACCCCAUCUCGUUAAGCAUGUUAUUUGAAGUAACCGCGGGUGCCGAUCAGGGACCAGGCCCACCUGUCUCCUAGGAUGGUCACAACCUGCCCUGUCGCUCUGCCAUAGAGUAACACUCUGGGUCCGUCGGGAACCCAGGCCCACCACUACCUGGCUGGAACCACCUGUCCCUUCAGCCCCCAUAUCCGAACAAUAACAUAAGUAAGUAAUAGUAUAUAGCAUAUACCCGUGAUCACCUCCCGAAGUGAGCAUGGCCCGAUAUUAUAGCAUGGCAGACGGAUAAGUAUGUAAGGCCACUGAUGAUAUUUUAGCAACCUAUACUAAGCAUUUAGGAUUGCAGGUAAAGUAACAAAAGUAGUAACAAGGAAAGGCUAUGCAGCAGAAUAGGUUCAUCCAAAAGUAGUAACAACUACACUACUCUAAUGCAAGCAGUAGAGGGAAAGAGUAGUUGAUAUCGGGAUGACCAAGGAGGGUUUAGUUGCCUGGAAGCUCUAUUGAGAAGGAGGGGUCGUCAACACCGUAGUCGUACUGGGUAGAGCGGCAUCGGUCUGGGUAUCUAACGAGAGAAGAGGGGAAGAAACGAUAAAUAUAAUUCAAGGGACAAAUGCAUUUUUACCCCUAGUUGGUUCCUACCCACGGGUUUUGCCCUUACUUUUCGAGCUUGCUCAGUUUUGCCCUUACUUUUUCCAUCGAGGUCCCUCGGAUGCCCUUUGACUAUUUGACCAAAACUUUAAAAAUUCAUAACUAAAUCAUACAAACUCAGAAAAAUGCAAAUAAGAUAUCAAAAUGUUCAGAUAAACAUUACCUUUAUGGGCAUAUCAUUUGCAUUCAGGACAAAAGCAUUGUUUAAACUACCCGAGGUAAUUAAUAUUAUUAACACUAUUAAAAAUAAAUAGGUAUAAACAAUAUUUUUUUUUCAUGAAUAAAAAUUACAUGCAAAUGUACGUGAUGUUUUCUAAACAUCCUCAUAACUUAUUUGCAGUUUUAUGAGUUUGUAUCAACUUGUUAUGAAUGUUCUAACGACUUUGACCAUUAUUUGGAAACUUCAUAACAAGUUGAUACGAACUCAGGAAAAUGCAAAUAAGGUAUCAGGAUGUUCAAAAGACAUCACCUACAUUUGCAUAUAAUUUUUAUUCAUGAAAAAAAUAUUGUUUAUACCUAUUUAUUUUUAAUAAUGUUAAUAACAUUAAUUACCUCGGGUAGUUUAAACGAUGCUUUUAUCCUGAAUGCAAAUGAUAUGCCCAUAAAGGUAAUGUUUAUGUGAACAUUUUGAUAUCUUAUUUGCAUUUUUCUGAGUUCAUACGAAUUAGUUAUGAAUUUUCAAAGUUUUGGUCAAACGGUCAAAGGGCAUUCGAGGGACCUCGAUGGAAAAAGUAAGGGCAAAACUGAGCAAGCUCGAAAAGUAAGGGCAAAACCCGUGGGUAGGAACCAACUAGGGGUAAAAAUGCAAUUGUCCCAUAAUUCAAAUAGAUGCAUGACGAUGCAUGACGUGACAAUGAGCGGUGCUAGGUGUGCCCUAACGCGGUAGUAGGUGAUACUCACGAAGGGGGAACAUCCGGGAAAGUAUUCUCGAUGUUUGACAUUUUCGGAUAGACGAACCGGAGGGGAUUGUUGCAUGUUCGCUAUGUUAGGGACGUGUGGCAGACAAACGGACUACGUAUUCGGGCUCGUCGUUCUGAGCAACUUUCAUGUACAAAGUAUUUUCAUCCGAGAUACGGUUUAAUUUAUAGCAAUUUAAAAGGAUUUAAUCAUUUUCUGGGACUACUAUUAUUUAAUUAAUUCGAAAAAGAAUUACUGUGUCAUCAUGACAUCAGCGGUCCAAGUUGAUCGUUGACCAGUCAACUGAUGGGUGGGUCCCGCAUGUCAUAGGUUGUUAACUAAUUAAAGUUAGUUAGUUUUAUUAGCAGGUUAAUUAGGUUUAAUUAGAUCUAAUUAGUUAACUAAACAAAAUUGAUUAAGUAAAUUAAUUCUUUAAUUAGUUAAUUAUAUCUUUUUAAUCCUUUUUCUUUGAUGUUCCUGGGGCGGGCCCACAUGUCAUAGGCCGGGGGGCUAACGGGCACGCGGGUACAGGCAUCGCCCGAACAGGCGCAGCGGGCGCGACGGCCGGAGCAGCGCACGGGAGGGGUCGUUGUCGUGGCGAGAGGUGGCACGGGGGGCACGGGGCGAUAGUGGGUCGGCGAGCAACUGCAGCAAGGGCAUGCNNNNNNNNNNNNNNNNNNNNNNNNNNNNNNNNNNNNNNNNNNNNNNNNNNNNNNNNNNNNNNNNNNNNNNNNNNNNNNNNNNNNNNNNNNNNNNNNNNNNNNNNNNNNNNNNNNNNNNNNNNNNNNNNNNNNNNNNNNNNNNNNNNNNNNNNNNNNNNNNNNNNNNNNNNNNNNNNNNNNNNNNNNNNNNNNNNNNNNNNNNNNNNNNNNNNNNNNNNNNNNNNNNNNNNNNNNNNNNNNNNNNNNNNNNNNNNNNNNNNNNNNNNNNNNNNNNNNNNNNNNNNNNNNNNNNNNNNNNNNNNNNNNNNNNNNNNNNNNNNNNNNNNNNNNNNNNNNNNAGGCCAUGGUGGGGUGGAGGAACAACGGCGCGGUAGAGGCAGCAGGGGGGGGGGGCGAGCGCGCGCUGCGGUUGGAUGGGUGCGGCAGUGCGGCAAACGGAGCAGGCGGUGGCAACUUGGAGUGCAACAGCAGUAGUAGCAAAGGGGGCAAGAAGCAACGGCGAUGGACAUGGGCGGCGGUAGCAAGCACGGGUAGUAGCAGGCGAGGUGUAGGGGCGCGGGGAGCGGGGCGGCGCUGCGGGUAUGUGACGCCCCGAGACCGACGCUCCAGAUGCCUUCCAUUUAUCCCGUUGCCAUUGUGUGUGUUUCAACUAUUUGUUGCCAUGAUUGAUGAGUGCCAUUGUCAUAUUUUGCUUCUUGUAUCAUGUUCAUCAUUCGGUUAUAUUGCAUCGCCAUGCCCAUCAUUGUCAUAUUGCAUUUGUGCCCUUGUCAUUGUGCCUUUCAUCAUGCUCAUCAUGUGCAUUUUGAGAUUCACCUUGUUGUUUUACUUGCUCUACGUAUGGUGCUGGUCUUAAACCCCUUUGCUAUAUCCCUCGACCCUAGCCAUGCACCUUCACCUCCUUCUUCUUUCAAUUUGGCUAUAUUCCCAAGUGGCAUUUUUACGGCCAAGAUAAAUGUCCACAUUUAUCCUAUAAAUCUUAAACCAUGCUUUCAACCUCUCUGUCAAGUUUCAGCUCUUUUGGGGUUGAUUUGGUUGGGUUCAAAAAUGACUCAAGUUUGAAUUUAAUUCAAACUUGAAUUAUUUUUCUAUCUAUAAAAAUUUCCAAGUCAAUUUAUUCAAAUCCUGCAUAAUUCCAGGAGUUUAGAUAUAUUCUCACUUCUUUUGAAUUUGUCCUCAAUGUCCCUAGGCUUUUCCCUUUUGAUAGAUGUCUAUUUAUGGGCAGAAUUAAAGGAAAAGAAAAGGAGUCACCUUAUCCGAAGCCACCUGGGCCUUUUCCCCUCCAACCAGCCCCCCUCACUUACCUCUUUUAGCCCAGCGAGGCCACCAAUGCUGAUCCCUCUUGUUCUUCUUCUAGCUCCUGUACCGCAGCUCAUCCAGCAGGUCCAUGUCGACGCUUGCAUUGAUUUGACGGCCGGAGCUGCUCCCUUCACCCUAUAAAUCAUGCACCAACACUAGGGUUCCCUGGUCGCUCCAUUUCCCACCUCCUCCUUCUCCUGCCGCCGCCAGGUGAGACCUCUCCAUGCAAUAGCCGUCGGCAUGGCCGGGAAUAUGCUCAAGCUCAUCCCCCGCUUGUACGCCUUCGUCGUCUGUGUUGCUGCCACGGGGAGAGAGUCGAGGCACUCGACGUUGUCUCCUUCGUCCACGCUCGCGUCCACGAGCCUCGGAUUGAUCUCCCCGAUGACCUCUUCUUCCCCUGCUUCCUCUGCUUCACGGACGCCAAGCCGGAGGCCUCCUCUCGUCGCCGACCUCUCCUUCUUCUUCCUCAGGUCUACCUCGCCGCCGGUUAAAUUCGUCGCGUCCCCGAGCUCGAUCGACUCCUCCGAGCCCCUCUGCGUGAGCAGCCGCACUUCCCUGUACCUUUUUCUCGUUGAUUGCCUCCUCUGUCGCCGGUUGCUUGCAUGCCUGAUAGUUCCUCCACCGUCACUUUGGUCACCGGGAAGGUAGCUAUGCUUCCUCUGUUUCUUCAGCACACACGCAGUGCCUCGUCUGCUACUCACGCGCAUGCACCAAGGCCUGCUGCCCAUCUUCUUGUUCACCAUAGAUCAUUGCCCCGAGCCGAGCUCUUGCUCGUGCCCGCUCGGUCAUACGCAGCCUCGUCAGUUUUCUGCACCCCCGCCGGUGAUCUGCUGCACCUGCAGCCGCUACUUGCUUCCAUCGCCGGCAAGCAUCACCGAGCAUCCAUGGCCGUAGCUUUGGCCAUGCCUCGUCCCAGCUCCUACCCUCGCCCAACCGAGCCAACACCCGCACGCGCGCACCCACACCACAUUCCUGAAAUGCUCGCCGUUGCUCUGCUGCGGUAGUAGCCGCCGCUUCAUUCGCCAUCCUCGCUGGCGACUUCUGUGCAUCCAUGGAGUCCAGAGUCCGCCUCCUUGUUUGCUCUUAAUAUGUUUUGUCGCUCGUAUGCCAACUUCACCAAGCCAGCUCGGCUGGUCAUCCCAGCGGAGCAACAGCAGGAGAUCCUCGGGUCGAUUCCCAGGCACCCAACUUUUUGCCCCGUUCUUCAUUUAUUCUUGCACAGCCAGCCACUUGGGCCGAAUCCUCUUCUGGGCCGCUGCACGCUAAUGCUUCGGGCCCGUGCAUGUUUUUUCUGCCUGUGGAUUUGUUUAAUUUCCAGUGCAUUGCAUAUUUAUAGAAUUGCCAUAGUUUUAUUUUUUCUAUACCUAAAUAUCCAUGCAUCCAAAUGAAACAUGUCAUAUAUGCAUCUUGCUCAGUUUUUCAUGUAGUUUCACUAUUUCCAGCUUUUAUCCAUGUUUAAAAUGUUUAAACUUGUUGUUUGUAUUAAUUUGUUUAAAUGAUAUGCUAAAAUGCUUUAAUUCAUAACUAAAUAACCGUAGCUCCAAAUUUAAUAAACUUUAUAUGUAAAUGGGGUAGAAAAAUGCCUAGUUUAACAUGGUGACUUUACCUUGCAUGUUUAACAAUUCUAAAAUUUGGUUUAGGGCAGAACAUUACCAAAUCUAAUAUAUGCUCAUGAGGAUUUUCCGGAAUUGUUGUCGUUGUUUCCGGCCUCAUUUAAACUUGACUAGAUAGUUAGUUUUAUUAUGGUUCACCUCUUGCCUUGCUAACCAACAUUUAAUUUUGUUGAGUACCUAAACGAGAGAGAACUAAAUAAGUCACGUGAUUUAUAUGCAACGGAGUUGCAUAUUGAGCUCCACUUAACUUGUAGUUUUGUUCGUGCACUUUGCCAUGCCAUGCCUCAUUAAUCCGGACAUGCAUCAUACUUGGUUGUGCAUCAUGCCAUGUUUAUGUGACAAUUGUUUACUAUGUUGCUUGCUUCUUUCUGGGUUGCCUCUCUCGUUAGCUUCGGUUUCGUUCCGGAGUUGUGAGGAUCCGUUCGGCUACGUCCAUUUGUCUUCUUCAUGGACUCGUUCUUCUUCCUUGCGGGAUCUCAGGCAAGAUGACCAUACCCUCGAAAUCACUUCUAUCAUUCCUCCCAUAUUGCCAUGUCAAGCCUCUAACCCACCUUUCCUAGCAAACCGUUGUUUGGCUAUGUUACCGCUUGCUAGCCCCUCUUAUAGCGUUACUAGUUGCAGGUGAAGAUGAAGUUUGUUCCUUGUUGGAACAUGGAUACUGUUGGGAUAUCAUAAUAUCUCUUAUUUUUUAAUUAAUGCACCUAUAUACUUGGUAAAGGGUGGAAGGCUCGGCCUCAUGCCUGGUGUUUUGUUCCACUCUUGCCGCCCUAGUUUCCGUCAUACCGGUGUUAUGUUCCUUGAUUUUGCGUUCCUUACGUGGUUGGGUUAUAAUGGGAACCCCUUAACAGUUCGCUUUGAAUAAAACUCCUCCAGCAAGGCCCAACUUUGGUUUUACCAUUUGCCUCACCACCACCUACUUUUCCCUUGGGUGUGGCGCUCCCGAGGGUCAUCUUUAUUUUAACCCCCCAGGCCAGUGCUCCUCUAAGUGUUGGUCCAAACUAGAGCCCCUUGCAGCGCCACCUCGGGGAAACUUGAGGGUUGGUUUUAGUUGUACGGAUUGCUCAUCUGGUGUGCCCUGAGAACGAGAUAUGUGCAGCUCCUAUCGGAAUUUGUCGGCACAUUCGAGCGGCUUUGCUGGUCUUGUUUUACCAUUGUCGAAAUGUCUUGUAACUGGGAUUUCGAGCCUGAUCGGGUCUUCCUGGGAGAAGGAAUAUCCUUCGUUGACUGUGAGAGCUUGUGAUGGGUUAAGUUGGGACACCCCUGCAGGGUUUUGAACUUUCGAAAGUCGUGCCCGUGGUUAUGGGCAGAUGGGAAUUUGUUAAUGUCCGGUUGUAUAAAACCUAAAGCUAAACUUAAUUAAAAAGCAUCAACCGAGUGUGUAGCCAUGAUGGUCUCUUUCCGGCAGAGUCCGGGAAGUGAACACGGUUCUUGUGUUAUGCUUGAACGUAAGUAGUUUCAGGAUCAUUUCUUGAUCACUUCUAGUUCACGAAUGUUGCAUUGCUUCUCUUCUCGCUCUUAUUUGUGUAUGUUAGCCACCAUAUAUGCUUAGUGCUUGCUGCAACUCCACCUCACUACCCUUUCCUAUCCCAUAAGCUUAAAUAGUCUUGAUCUCGCGGGUGUGAGAUUGAUGAGUCCUCGUGGCUCAUAGAUACUUCCAAACAGUUGCAGGUGCCGACGAUACUAGUGCAGAUACACAACUAAGCUCAAGUGGGAGCUCGAUGAAGAUCUUGUUUGUUGUGUUGUUUCGUUUCCUAUUGAUCAGUAGUGGAGCCCACUUGGGACGAUCGGGGAUCUAGCAUUUGGGGUUGUCUUUCUUUAUUUGGUUUCGUAGUUGGACCUUGAUUGUAUUCUGGAUGAUGUAAUGCUAUAUUUUAUGUAUUGUGUGAAGUGGCGAUUGUAAGCCAACUCUUUAUCCCUUUCUUAUUCAGUACAUGGGAUGUGUAAAGAUUACCCCUCUUGCAACAUGCCUACUAUGUGGUUAUGCCUCUAAGUCGUGCUCCAACACGUGGGAGAUAUAGCCGCAUCGUGGGUGUUACAAGUUGGUAUCAGAGCCUUCCCCGACUUAGGAGCCCCCUGCUUGAUCGAAUCGCUGGCGUUGUUGAGUCUAGAAAAAAUGUUUUGAGUCUUAUAGGAUUAUAUAUAUCGGAGAGUAGGAUUCUUUUUACUCCUCAGUCAAUCUGUCGCUCUGGUGAGGCCUCCUGACGUAGAGUUUUGACUCUUCUCUCCUCAAAUUUCACAAAAAAAAAAUAGGAUCACGCGAGUAUCUUGGAAUCGUUCCGAUGGUUUUGUGACAAGAACAUUGUUCUUGGUGCCUCCUGACAUUUAGGGGUUGUGGCAGUGUCCCGGGGAGUUGAGCUCCGACAUGUUGUCCUCACAAUUUUAUCGUUGCAGUUUUGGAAUACCUGAGUUCGCCGACAUCGAAAAUCUCUUUUAUGCAGUUGUUGGUGAGAUAACCUUGACGCCACCCAGUACUGGGCGGGAGUUUGGGUGUAUUGCCAUAACUCGUAUAACGGAUGCUUUUCAAAGGUUGAGGUAAAUGAUUUCCGAAGGUUUCUUGGUUAUGUGUUGAAGGAAGGAUACAGCUGGAUGUAGGAUUUGUUAGUUUUGGGUGAGAUAUUAUGCUUCCCCUAUAUUCCCAACACCUGAUUGCAUAACCAGAAAGUUUUGGGUGUUUAUAAGUGGGAAUUCAAGUAUAUCGUAGGAUAUCUUUCCAAGGGACACAUGAUACGAUAUGGGAUCUAUCAUAUGUUUGUUUCGGCUUAUUUUGCAAGCCAAUCCUUUGUUUUGUUUUGGUUUGUUGUAUUCGAGUUGCUUCAAAGUGAAAUUUUGAUUCCAUACCUUUCCUAGGCGAUGUUCUCAUACUUCUAUUCAUGAUAAUUCAGAUUGUCAUGUCAAUCCUUUUCAACCGGCGUCUUUCUCUUCAAGAGGAUCCGAUCAUUUCCACAUUCGCAAGAUCACCUCUCAGUUUUUUCCCAACGUUGUUUGUUUCAUUCGUCCCAAAUUGUCUUUAUUUUCCCACCCUCCCACCCUUUUUUCUUCAAGGAUUCAGAUUUCUUAAUCAAGUACCCUUUUAUGGAUGUGAAGUCUCUUCAUUCUUUUCAAUCAAUGUUCUUACCCGGUGGUGCUCUUGAAGAUACUAACGGAGCUUAAGUUCAUCAUUCUUUGUUCUUUUCCUUCUCCGGUUGUUUCAAUGCAAGCUUUCGGUGUCGAUCAUAUCUUUUUCUUUGGUUCACAUGUUUUCCAUGUUGGAAGUCCUUACCGAAGACUCUCUUAUUUAUUCACCUCUCGCUAUUCAAUCAUUCCGGAGUGCUAAAGAUAUCUCGAAAGAUUUGCGUUGCCAUUCUCAAUCGUUUAAUAUAUCUCGAGGUUGUUAUCUUAUUCAAGCCAUUUAAUUCAACCGGUGCAAUCUCUCUUUUCAAGCAAUCUCUUCAAUGGUGUUUCGACAAUUCAUGACGGUGCUUGUGAUAUAAUAGUGAUAUCCCACCAGGGGCCUCAACAAUUCAUGUCUAUUUUAUGGGCCCACACAACUCUAUAAAUAUCCCACCAGAGGCCUCAAGUUGAUAUCACUAUUAUAUCUUGUCUAUUUUACGGGCCCACGUCGCCAUUGGGUGGUAUUAGGAUCUUUUACUCCUUGUUUAUACUCUGGGACUCUGAUCUCUCUUCUAUUCGGGUUAAAUGAAUUUUGCUAAAUCUAACAUUAGGAUCUCAUUAUCACUUUCACCCGGAGAGCCCCUUAUUACUGAUGAUCGUCUGCUGCACGUGAAGACCCUGAAGAUACUCUCCGCUGUUAACCCGAGAACUUGUGUUCAUCGCGUUUGCAAUUCCCCUUCCACCGUCAACCCUUAUGGAUAACUACUUGCAGUUGUUAUUCUUGCAUUCAUCCCCAGUUGGUCUUGCUAUUACAAGAUACCCGGAAAUACUCGUCGUUGUUUCGAUAAUCCUUUGAGCUUACUACCUUGCCGUUCUUUGUCACCUGAAUACCCCUAUGGAUAAUUCUCGCACUUAUCGAGUAUCCGCUCACCCCCCAGUUGUUCAUGUGUUUCACAAUGGUCUUCGAAAUACUAUUCGAUCCUCCAAGAAUCCUUAGUAGCUUAUUGCUCUGCAAUACUUGUCUGCUUGCAUUAUGGAUGCUUUCCAUAUGUCUGGCAAUAUUCGUUAGUAUCCUUACACACCGUAAUUUUGAUACUAUUGAUUCAACAUGAGUGCGAAUGCACGCAAUUAUCAGUUGAUCCUUUUAAAUUAUCUUUCUGGCUCAGACGUCAUUUUUGAACAUGAGCUUGUUCUCGACCAAUUUGUUUGCCCUCAAUUGUACUCUUAGGUCUAUUGAACUUAUCCACCCUUGAUCGGAGCGUCUUCUUCUAAUCCUUCUAUUGGGAAAUAAUAAUUCCUUUGCAUUUGAGCCUUGAAUUAGUCUCAGACGUCAUUUUUGAACAUGAGCUUGUUCUCGACCAAUUUGUUUGCCCUCAAUUGUACUCUUAGGUCUAUUGAACUUAUCCACCCUUGAUCGGAGCGUCUUCUUCUAAUCCUUCUAUUGGGAAAUAAUAAUUCCUUUGCAUUUGAGCCUUGAAUUAGUCAGUUGUUUCUAAAGUCUGAUCUCCUUGCAUUGUUUCUUCCUCUGGUUGAGUACCGAUGCUCACACGAGAUCCCUUGAGGACCACCGGAUCCUUUGUUGGAUUUUAUCCGACAGCGUCCUUCAUAUUCAAUAAGUCUGUGAGCAUUUCCUCGGAUACAUAAUGCCUUUGGUAAAUUGUAUCCUCUGCUUUCUCAAGCAUGCUCUACUAUCGAGCUUGUGUUAUUUAUUCUUGAAAUUUGUGGUAUAUACUCCUAAGAUGCCCCGAUGGUUUGAACCCAUGCCUUCCCCAAAACAGUAUGAACCCGAAAGUUUUCGCGAGUCAUACUCUUCUGUUGCUUCGCCAGAUAAAAUUUAUACACUACAACCUCAUUAAAAGCGAGAAGUAAAAUGAAAGGUUAUGCAUUGAGGAAGUGGGAGUCGACCUUGAGCCUUUGCGUUCAUGCCCAUGGACCCGAUGUCGAACUUUUCAUCGAAGCUUCUUGCAAAUGAUAAUAAUUCCCUUGUUAUAAAUUCGUCCUGUAUCUAUGUUUGGUCCUUUGCAAUCAUGGUUCCGACCAUAUUUUCUCCUUAAUACCAUUUCUCGGACAAGUUGAAGUACUUGUCUUGUGCAGAUCAUUGCACCUGUCCAACCUUUACUUUGAUAUGUCGAGUAUUACACUAUGAUACCUUGAUAAUGUCAUGGUACUACAUAACUUCUUAUGGGUUCUUCAUUAACUAUUAUUUCUCACAGAUUUUUUCUGGGUUCUGGGUUGUCGUCAACCGAGAACACCGAUAUGUGAACUGAUUCCGCAUUCCGGUUCGAUAACCCUAAUUAAUUUUCAUUGCUUACGAGUUUAAUAAUCCUUCAAGUCAUUCCUAGCCUGAUCGGUUAUACCAUUAUUGGGCUAAUUUUUAACUGUGCUACCUGGUCCUUCUUCACGGAGCACAAAUUUCGAUUGUGAGCUAAUAUUACAUCCAUCUUCCUUGUCAUAUCAUUUCUCCUUGAAUAGCAAACUUGAUUUCGAGUUUGUUUCAUACCCAUGGUUCUGAUAACUUUCGCUUCACCCUUCCUUUUGCUUGAUGUCAUCGAUGAUCGAUUAUAUCCUCAUGAAACCCCUUGACAAGUGUGUCGUGAUCAUCAUCAACAUUUUGACCUCUUCCAAGAUAUCAAUUGAAUUCAUGAUGAGAAGUACCAUCCUUGCCCUCGAUGAUUUGUGUUAUCAUCGACCACUUUAUUGCCUUCCAUUCAACACAAACUUGUUCGUGUUUUGUGUUAUACCUUGAGAUCCUUGCUACCCAAUAGUUGUUCUUCUUUACCUUGGAAGUAUUACGAUCUUUUAUGUCAAGAAAGUCAUGAGAAUUUCACCACCUCCUAAGAGAUCUUGAUACAUGUGAUACUUCUUGCCAUAUACGUUCACUCCUUGGUCCCGUGUUGUUUCUAAACCGAAAAACCGACAAUUGAUCUAUGACGUGCGGCUUCAAAACUUCUAGCAACCCUAGUGCUUGUAAGUUAUUGGUCGAUAGUUUCAUUCUAAGUUUAUCGUUUAUUGAAUCAUCAUUCAAACAUUGACCGUGGUACCCAAUCUAGAUUUCAGGGUGCACCUUUCUAUCAUUGUUAAAUUGUGUAUGUGUUCCUUGAGCAUACAUCAUUAUACCAUUUGAUCUUUUGGAAAUCUUGAUGAAUUGUCGCUGAGUUCAUCAGUCACCUCCUCAUCCCCUCCUUGAUUUAAUGAGGAACUCUUGUUUCGGGACUCACUUCCGUGGUUCAUUUCCUAAGAGUCUUACAAUGGCAUCUCGUCAAAUUUGUGUUGCACCUUUUUCUUCUGAGACAUCCUGAGUCUGAGGUAUCCUGACACCAAUCAGAUCUGAAUCUCGGUCAGUUAUGAUGGUUGGAACGUAUUUUCGAGAGUUAUAUCAUUGGUCCUCAUAUGACCUGGUAAGGUGAUGUCAUGCCUAGCACACCUGGCUGGCGGGCCUAUUGUUAUAGUUGCCUUUUUAGCAAGGUUAGCCAUUCUUCCAUGAGGAAAUUGUAAGACUUAUUCUACAAGCCGUUCCUGAAGGGUGCUUUGUGUCUCCAAAGUCUGACCUUCACCUUAUGACCAUGCAUGUCUAUGGCACUCCAAUUUUCAACAAGAACAUUUGAAGCCCAAUGCUAAAUGUUUCCUACUCAAUUAUCCAAACACCGCUAUAUGGGUAAUGUCAUGAAAUUUCUCUCCCCUUACCGAAAGAGUUUUCUACAUCAUAUCCUGUCAUGGAUAUCAUGCUCUGCUUGUCCUUGGGAAGGAUAUACCCUUGAAAUGUGUGUUUAAACACAUUUUCCUUUCCAUUGUUCUGUUUAAUCUGAUAAUCAUAUUUUCCUUUCCAUUGUUUGGUUUAACCUUUCUUGUGAUCUAUAUGAUCUAAGCAGCAAUAUUCUCUUGCUUAUGUAAACACCUCGGUGUACAAUCCUAUCAACAAGACCCAGUUACUAUUGUUGAUGACAUUUCGGUAACCACCGCUGGACGAGAACUUUGCCUAUUGGUCCGCCUCGUUCAACGAGCAAAAAAAUGGUUCUCUUCGUCCCUCGCCCUUGGUACCGACGUUGUUGCCGACAUAAUCGACAUGCUAUCCUCUGACAUGCCUUGUUAUCAUGAAUGUGCAAAAUAUCAUCGCGCUUUCUACUUUUAACCCACAUGGUGGGCCCAUAACCCACAGGUCCCAGGAUCGAAACCUGACUCUCUGGUACCCCCCUUGUUUCCAAGGUUAUUCCUCGUGCGUGGCCUCAUAUGUUAUUCACGAGCCACCUUCCGAGAGAUCAUCAAUUAUGGUAUGAAACACAAUACUCAUUCCCGUUACUCUGAACCCCUUUCACACUCUGUUUCAGGCAUCGAACGAUUGCCUACCUGCUUGAAACUUCUCAUGGUACUUUUUUUACUUUGCUCUCGAUAUCUUCUUAAGUUUCAAUUCGAGAGAUACUUAUGCUUCUUCCCCUGAGUUAACCGUCCGAUGCUCAAUUUUAUUAGAGUCCGUCCUUAUAGAGUUUUCCCCCUCUCAUCCUUUCGUAAGCAUGGUGAAGAUCCUGAAGGAAGAACGACAACUUCAUCAUGAUGCAUUGAUGCAUAGGAAUGGAGACAUCAACGCUAUGGAUCGACCUCUUCGAGAAGAGCAACCAAGACCGAGAAGUUUCGUUAGAAUUUCGUAACCAGACCUUCCCCCGUUUUCCACCUCUUAAAUCUCGGGACGAUAUUUCUUGUAGUGGAGGAGAAUUGUGACGCCCGGAUAAUUAAGCUACAGUAAUUCUCUCCCAAUGAUGCCACGUCACUUCGAUUGUUGGCGCUAAUCUCGUGUUAGUUCAAAAACGAUUCAAAUUCAAAUUCAAAUUCAAAAUCAAACAAACAAUAGAAGUUUUCAAAUAAUAAAACUAAAAUGUUCGGAGUGUGCCAAUUAAUGCCUAGGUAUUUAUGGUGAAGGAACCACGCUUCUACAGGAUGUCUAAAUACUUGAAAAUGAAUUAAAACAGAAGAGAAAAUAAACAAAAGGGAAAAGAAUAAAAACAGAAAA
RNAcentral lists this long non-coding RNA (54768 nucleotides) under Triticum aestivum (bread wheat). Its description in RNAcentral is "long non-coding RNA (TAES_LNC001483)". Lineage: Eukaryota; Viridiplantae; Streptophyta; Magnoliopsida; Poales; Poaceae. The record is from RNAcentral.